RNAcentral lists this long non-coding RNA (65617 nucleotides) under Panax ginseng (ginseng). Its description in RNAcentral is "long non-coding RNA (PGIN_LNC000844)". The record is from RNAcentral. Lineage: Eukaryota; Viridiplantae; Streptophyta; Magnoliopsida; Apiales; Araliaceae.
GAAAAUUUUGCCUUUGCUUUGAUAAUAGCCAGUCGAAAGCUUAGGCAAUAUUUUCAAGGUCGAUUCUUGGUCGUUUACACGGAUCAACCGCUGAAGAAGGUGAUGAGCAAACCAGAAGUUUUGGGGAGAUUGGUUGCAUGGACAAUGAAAUUGUCCCAAUUUUUCAUCGAAUUUCAUCCCCGAACAGCUAUAAAGGGGAAAGCCUUGGCUGAUUUUAUGGUGGAGUGUUCAUUUUCCGAAGCUGAUGCAGAGUUGCCAAAGGCUGAAGUGUCCGACCGAGCAGUUGUAGUUCUUCAGCACAACCAGAGUUCGUGGACGCUGUAUGCAGAUGGAUCUUCAACUACGGAUGUCAGUGGAGCAGGGAUUAUCUUGACAAGUUCGGAGGGAUUCAAGGUGCAGCAGGCCAUCAGAUUUGGGUUCAGAGCAACGAACAACGAGGCAGAGUACGAAGCAGUGCUAGCGGGAGUUCGACUGGCGAAGAGUCUCGAAGUUCAGAAGUUGAUCAUCUAAAAUGACUCUCAGUUGGUCGUCAAGCUGGUUUCAGGGGAGUAUGAAGCUCGAGGUUCAAGGAUGAUCAAGUAUUUGGCCGAGUUGAAGGAUCGACUUCAAUAUUUUCUCUCCUAUGAGUUUCAGGGUGUAGAUCACAAUGACAAUUCUAUUUCCGAUGCAUUGUUGAAGUUGGAUACUACAGAUGCCAACAAUUUUGAUGGGUCAGUUUAUUUGGAGGUUCUGCAACAGCUGAGUAUUCAGCAUGAAGCCGUGAUGUGCAUUGAACGUUCUAACUGUUGGAUGACUCCCUAUAUAGAAUAUCUGGCAGAUGGCAUCCUUCCUUCGGAUCAGAUGCUAGCAAAGAAGAUCAAGUAUAAGAGCGCUAAUUUUGUUCUCAUUGAUGGAGAUCUUUAUCGAAGGGCUUUUUCAUCACCUUUGUUGAAGUGUCUAGUUCUAUCUGAAGCCGAAUAUGCUCUUCGAGAGGUUUACGAGGGCAUCUAUGGCGACCAUAUGGCUGCUAAGUCAUUAGCCUUCAAAGUACUUCGACAGGGAUUCUACUGGCCUACUAUCUUCAAGGAAGCUACAGAGUACGUGAAGAAGUAUGAAAAGUGUCAGCUCAAUAGCCCAAUCCCGCAUCAGCCACCAGAAGAGCUAUACUCGAUCUUAUCUCCUAUACCCUUUGCUGUCUGGGGGGGUAGAUAUACUGGGUCCAUUGUUGAAAGAUAAGGGUCGGGUCAGUUUUGUUAUAGUCGCUAUUAAUUAUAUGACCAAAUGGGUAGAAGCGAAGCCACUUAGGUUGAUAACGGAACAAGAGUGCUUGAAGUUCAUGGAGGAGUCAGUAGUGUUUCAUUUCGGAAUUCCUAAGGUGGUGAUAUCGGACAACGGAUGCCAAUUUGUGGGAUCGAAGUUUGAAGGAUUUCUGAAGGAGUUGGGAAUUCAACAUAGAAAGACUUCGGUGGCUCAUCCACAGUCGAACGGGCAGGUCGAGGUGACCAACAGAACGCUGCUGAAUGGGAUCAAGCGCAGACUGGAUGAAGCUAAGGGGAGAUGGCCUGAAGAGCUUCUCAGCGUGUUGUGGGCUUAUCGAACUACUCCGAGGACCACUACAGGGGAUUCACCUUUCAGACUGGCCUAUGGUACUGAUGCCUUAGUCCCAGUUGAAAUUGGAUCUCCAAGUCUUCGGGUUAGUUAGUUCAAGGAGAUCUACAAUGAUGAAGGACUGAAAGUCAACAUGGAUCUGUUGGAAGAAGUCAGAGAGACAGCUUUGAUCAGAUUGGUAACCUAUCAGCGAAGAGUGGCUAAACAUUACAAUAAGGGGGUAAAACUUCAUAGAUUUGAAGUGGGAGAUUUUGUCCUCGGGGAAGUCGAAGCUUCUACACCUCAGAACUUGGAAAAGCUGAUGCCGAACUGGGAAGGACCGUAUGAAGUAGUUGAAGUUCCGAAGCCAGGAACUUAUCGGUUAAGGGCAUUGGACGGAUCCGAGAUCAAGAACACUUGGCAUGCUGGUAGAGUUCAGAAGUAUUUUCAGUAAAGAUCGAGUCAGUAUCCCGGAAGUCUGUAAAUGUUGGAUCAUCAUCAAUAAAAUAUUCACUUUUUCACAAUUGAUCUUCUUCCUAUUGGUUCUAAAUUCACAAUGGUGUAAAGAGGACGGGGUGGACUCGCUGACCAUUCGAUGGUAGCCUUUUUGGCAGGUGUUCCUUAUAAAUUUGUCAGGCCCUUCGUGGUAGGCAAACUUCAUCGGUGUAAGAAGGACGAGGUGGACUCGCUGACGAUUCGAUGGUAGCCUUAUCGGCAAGAGUGUUCUCAUGGGUUUGUUAUACCCUACGUGGUAGACAAAUUCCAUAGUCCUUUUAUGAUUUGUUUUACACCCCGAGUGGUAAACAAAUGCACCGAAGUAAGGAGGUUCGGUUGGACUCGCUGACCAUUCGAUGGUAGCCCUAUUGUUAGGUGUGUCCUAUUGAAUUUGUUCUACCCCGAGUGGUAAAUAGAUGUCCUUAUAUACUUGUUUCACCCCGAGUGAUAAACAAGAUCCUGAUGGUGCAAGGAGGAUCAGCCGAAUUCACCUUAUGCCUAAUCUGUCUCACACUUCGGUAACGAUAAGUAUGCAUUAUUUUAUUUUGUUCAAGUGUUGAGUUCGGUUCAUUAUGUCCGGUAUAUGAUAUUCUUUAACUUAAUUGAUUAUAUGAUCUGUUUGCUUACCUGGUUCACAAAUUUAAGUUAAGUUCAAACGCAUCUUAUACAGUUUUGAAGUUGAUUGAUGCUGAAUUAUUGACAAGAAAUGAACUAUACUGAAGUCAUAAGGAGUAAAGUUAACUAUUCAUUAAUACUUAACCGAUUACAUCAAAAAGGAUGAAAAUUCUUUACAAGAUAAACUUAAAUCUAGGAAGAAGUGAUAAACUAUUUCAGGCAUCAUCCUCGCCUUCAGAAGAGUACAGAAGAGCUGGGUCUAGAUGGGCUACAAUCAACUUUUCCUUGCCCCGACCUCUGCAAACUUCAUAACCCUCAGAAUAUACCUUUAGAACUUCUGCAUUCAGCUCAUCGGACUUCCGAUAUUCUUCUUGGAUUUGUUUACGCAGUUCUUCGGUCAGAGGAGGGCUUAACUCCUCUAAUGCCUUUAGUUUAUCUUGAAGCUUGCGACGUCUGGCCAAGUGUCUUUCUUUAUCAUCUCGAGCCUUCUCCUGGAGUUCAUCAACUCGUUUGGCCAAACUCAGAUUGGUUGUAGCCAUUUUUUCAUUUUUUGUCUUCAGAACCUCGUUCUUUUCAACAAGAUUGAUGUUCAUAUUGGUCAGAUCUUGUUGGCUGGCCUUAGUUGUCUUCAGCUCUUCUGUGAACGAGUUCAGUUCUUCCUUGGACGAUUUAAGCUCUUCCUUGGUCUGAGUUAAAUCCUUUUGAAGGCAUUCAUUGUUGAAGAGAGAAAUAUCACAGUCAUGUCUUGCCUUCGCCAUCGCAGACUGUAAUAUUACAUUCUCUUUUCUAGCCGCUUCUUCUGCGGCUUCGGAUUCAAGAUGUUUAGGGCGUAAACGCCCAAAAAUAGCAUUGGCCUGUACAUGUUCAGAAUUAUUUAAUCAAUCUCAGAUAUCUAACCUAAGCAUGAAAAGGAGUAUGAAGAUUGGGGAAGAUCUUUACCUGCGCUAUAUAGCUCAUGCCUUCAUCAAGUAGAUCCCCGAUCGAGCUGUUGCCAAAUCGAUGAUCGUCGGUUUCCCGAACAAACGAAUUGAAGAGCUGGAAGGGAAAGUUGGCAUUAAAUCGGGGCCAUAGAGUUGGCGAUGCCAUUGCUUCAUUUUGGAACUCGUAGGAUGAAGGUCCUAGGGGAGUGGGUAUGGGUUGAUCACGAGGUGGUGAUGGAUCCAUAUAUACAUUCUCAGGAGAUGGAGAUCGAAUUGGAGUAGGUUCUCGAGGUGGUGAUGGAGCAGACGUUGAAUUUGGGUGACUAUCUGAGGGAUGUUUUCUCUUUCGAGACAAUGCUGGAACAGGUUCGACUUGCUCUUCAUCAUCAGAGACAUGUAUCUCCACAAGGACUACAGGAGUUGGAUUAGCUGAAGAUGAAGGCACUCGAAGUUCAUCGGUUGUCAGAGGGGUGACUUUGGUUCUUAAUUUUUUGACUCGAAGGAGUCGUUUCCGAUCGUCUACGGGUAGAUCGAGUAAACUCCCUCGGCCAGAGGUUGGAUUGGUAGUUGGUGCAGGUUCUGGGAUAGUUUCAAUUUCUGGGAUUGUUUCAGGUUCUAUUGGUGUUGGUUUGGAUCUAGGUUUUCGGAUACCUCUCUUUUUUCGGUGUGGUUGAAGGGAUUCUUCUAGGGGAAUGAGGUCAUCGGCUUCUGGCUCAUUUAUUUGAGGUUCAGAAGUAUGUGUUUCAAGGGUUGGAUUGUCUUCGGGUGCAGCUUCUAUCAGGGGAGUUUCAGCAGCUUCCGAAGAUUUUCCAGACAGAAAAUCUUUCAAGUCUUUCACAUCCGAGGAUGUUUGCUUAAUCAAAGACACUGCAAAAGUCAAAAAGUCAUAUGUCAGAAUCUACAUCACUUCAAAUUUCAAAUAAUUGCACAACAAAAUAAUUCAGAACUUACAUUUGUGUUCAUCCAACCAGGCUUGCUUAGUAAGAAGCAGGUAAUUCCAUUCCUUUGACGGGAAGUUCUCGAACAGUUCUAUCAUUUCACUCACAUGUUCCUCUGGGAUGUCACCAAAGUCGGCAGAAACUACGUCAUCAGUGGCCCAGUUCGGCAAGGAGGCAAUCUCUGGUCCCUUAAUGAAGAACCACCCUUUGUGUCAUCCUUUGUUGCUAGAUGGGGUGGAGACCAACGAGCGUCUGCCAAAUUUCUCUCCUAACUUCGGAGAUUGUUUACCCAUGACCUUAAACCCCUUUUCUCGGGAUUGGCUGACCUUGUAGAUAGUGAAGAAGAAAUCGAGAGUGGGCUCUACUCCAACUUCAUGACAGAAUGCGAUGAAGGCCAGAAUAUGGAUGUAGGAGUUCGGUACCAACUGGGCGAACCCAACGCCAAUAAACCCUAGGAGGGUUAUUAUGAAUACAUGAAGAGGGAAUCGAACCCCCUUCUCAAGGAUGGUCACAAGAAUGGUCGUCCAACCUUCUGGCCUUUGAUACAUUCUCUCGCCGGAUCUAGGGGCUCUUACCAUGUGGGUGUCCGGAAUAUGAUAUCGAGUUCGAAUCCUUUUCAGUUCAAUUUCAGUAACGGUUGAUGGAGUGUUAGCAUGAGCAUAGCGUUCUGUACUCCUAUAGAAUUCAGAGGGGGUAGGAGAGGUUUUUGGAGGUGGGUUCUUGCUUGGAUUUGCAGUUUUGGGGUUCGAACUCGAGGCUUCUUUGUUAGGGCUUGGGUUAGGCAGAACGGUGGUGAUUGGAGUCACAGAAGAGGUGAACCUUGCUCGAAAUCUUGAGAAGCCAUGGAUAUCGAGUUGCAGUAAGGAGAAGAGAGUUCGAAGGAGAAGACAAAGAACUCAAGGGUCAGAAAUUCAAAUUGACAGGUAAAACUAUCAAUUUAGGGGAAAUUAUCUUUUAUACUAACGGUUACACAGUACACGAGGGCAGCACAUUAAUUGACAGUCAUAAUCAUGAAUUUGGAGGGGUAGCGUCCAAGAGAAGUUUUGAUAUUUAACCGGUUUGGGUCUUUCAUUUGGGCUUUCGGUUUUAGUUCAUCUUCUUAUUUUAAUUCAUUUUCGUUUGGGCCUUAAUGAAUUUCGUUUUGGGGGUCUUUCAAUCCUAUUUGAUUCUUCAUAUCAUGGACCAUUUAUUUUUUUCUAUUAAACACCUUGUUUAAUAAAAAACUAGGGGGCAAUGUUGGGUCAUGAUAUUUCACCUACUGGGCCGAAUGGAUUGGGCCUACGUAUUUGGUUAUUCUCUUGGGUCAUUAUUAUUGGGCCUUGUUAUUAGACUAAUUCAUUGGAUUAUCUUGAUUGGGUCUUACAAAGUCUUGGGCCGAAUUAUUGAACCGACCCAUUAGAUAAUUUAAAUAUCUACAUCUUUGAGUUGCAAUGAUGGAAAAAGAUAACGGUUGGCCGAGAUCUCUGCCAUCCAUUAAUGUGGAUGGGAUUAUAGUCGGCCGACGGUGGUGAACAGUGAUAGUAUGUAGUGGGUGAGCUGCAUGCAGUCGGAUGAGACCGUUAGAUUCAGUGGAUAGACGUCAGAUAGCAGUAGAAGGCAUGGUUAACCGGGCAGGAGAGUAUAACAUAGCAAGGAAGUCAUCCAAGUAAAGGUAACUGAUAAUUUUAUCUUUCUCAAUACACUAGAUAUUUUAUCCUCCAUUGUUAGCCUUGUGAUCGCCUAUACUGACUCUUACGCCUGAGCUAUCCCCCGACGGUCGAAGCCGUCAAGAUUUUGGUGUUGAUCGUGUUUAUUGUGCAGGAUCAGGACGUCUUACGUUAUUGGGACAUAGCAGAAGAUCUUGGUAUUAACACUAAGUAUGUUUCGUACAUACGUUAAAACUAGUGCUAAGACACUUAUUCUCUUCUAUGAUAAUCAUGUGUUAGGUAUUUUUCUUUUCAUUGACGUUGAUGAAUUUCUGGUUUUGGAUUAAUUAAUUCUCAGGUUUAAUUGAUGCAUAAGUUUGAAAAAAGGUUAAUUUUGUCUAACAAAAACUUAAAAACAUCACAAGUAAUUAAAUUUUAGAGAGAGUGUGUGUAUAAAAGUUUUAGAGAGAGAAGUUAAAAGGAAGAUAUAAAAAAUAAAUUUAAAGUAAUUUAUUUAAUUGGACCAUAAUAAAUUAAUAAUGGUAAGCUUGAAAUUUGAAAUACGUGUUUACCUAUAUUUGACCCAUAACUAUAUAGUUUCAACCCACAUAAUUCAUAAUUAUAUAAUUCCAACCCACAUAAUCCAUAAUUAUAUAAUUUCAACCCACAUAAUUCAUAUUAAAAAUAAGUAAUAUGGUUUUAAUUCUUAAAUAGAAUCAUAACUAAAUUAUAUAAACCAAAAUUAACCCAUUACCAUACCUACGUAUAUAGAAAAUAAUAAUAUUGUGUAACUUAUUUGGAAUUCAUAAUGAGCUACCGCAACAGAAUUGAUCUUUCUGAAUGACCAAAUUACUACUCCCUUAAUGCCUUAAAUGUUGGCUUGAUGAGAAACCUUCAAUAGCCUUCCUAGUAUUAUGAAAAUUGGUAUGUGUAUAGAAUCAAGGGGGAUGACAUAGUUCUUUAUUUAUAAUAAUUCUGAUUAGCAAUCCUAGUGAAACUACUUAUCACAAUCUCAAAAUGUUAUUUAAAUAACUCAUACUGGUCAAUCUAUAACGCUCCCAAAAUAAGUAUACAUCAUCUAUUUUGAGUCGUCAAAUACAUGGUACAAAAUACAAAUACAAACUUAAUUAUAGAACAUGAGCUGAGAGUUUUUACACGAAUAUUGUCUUCUAGACAAUAUCUAAACUCAAAUGGAGUCCUCAUUAUAAUUAUUAUCACAUUAUUUCAUAGAAUAGUGAGUACUACUACAACACCAUCUCAAAUCAUUACUCCGUUCCCCGACAAGUCCCGGCUACGUUUUCAUUUCCUGAAGAGAACAAUGAAAGCAAAAGGGUGAGCUCAACUAGCCAGUAAGAAAUAUUAUGACUAAGUUAAUACAGAAUAAAUUAUCGUUAGCCUUCAACAGUGUUAAGCUGAUAAAAUACAAUAAACAUCAAGUUUAACUGCAGCGGAACAAGCAAUCCAUUAGAAGAGUAAAGUAGAGCAUGAUAUCUACUAUCUUCUAUGAUUUAAAAAGGUUAUCAUCAAUUUUAUCGUUGAGACUCAGCUUAAUAAAUAAUCCACAUCACUAAAUUAUCCAUGCACUACGGGCCAAUGAGGACUUUUACCACAUUAUAUGUAACAUUACGGUCAUGAUUAUACUGAAUAAUCCCUGGUCAUAAUCAUACUAAUCAACAGUACAUCUAUGCACUACGACCAAAGAUGACUUUCAUCACAAUAUAAGCAUGAGGAUGAUGACAAUGAUACAAGAAUUCAAUUAAAUAAAAGCAAAGAUAAAUUUUAAAGAUUUAUAAUUUAAUUUAUCCAGAAUUCAAUAGCGCCCAAAUUGUCAACAUGAUACUGCUUUGUGGAGUAAAUUAUUAUAUCAAAAAUAAUUUGGACAGAGAAGAAAUUAAUUUUUGUCAUGAAUAGUACCUGAGUGAAUAGUACCCCAUGAAUAGUACUUUAUAAAUAGUACUUCGGAAAUAGUACUUUAUGAAUAGUACCCCGUGAAUAGUAUUUUGUGAAUAGUACCUCGUGAAUAGUACUUUGUGAAUAGUGCCCUAUGAAUAGUACUUUGUGAAUAGUACCCCGUGAACAAUACUCCAACAUGAAAAGAUUAAAAAUUAUCAAAAAUGUUCAGAAAAAUAUCCUUCUGAAAUGAUACUAGAUGAAGCGCAAAUUUCAAGGAUAUUCUACUAAUUUCACGGAAUAUAGAAUCAAUACUUUAACAAAAUGAGUGUAGAAGUAGGUGUAAGACCCCAAAUUUUAUAAAUAAAAUUGAAUUUCCUCUAUUUAUUAUUUUGAAAUAAUAAGGUGUUAAUUUGAUAUAAUACUUUGGUUAUGGGUGAAAUGAACAAAUUUUGCAAAAUAAGCAAGUAGUUAUAAAAUAUUCAUUGUUGUCGGGGAAUAUUCGUUUGGUCGUGAAAUAUUCUUGUUGUCACGAAAUAUUCGUACGACGGCGCAGCCAUUUGUGGGCCCUAUAACGUAAAACGUUCAGAUGAAGACAAAUGAAUAUUUGGUUCAAGAUGUAUAUUGAUUGAUGUUUCAGGGAUAAAAUAUUGAUGAUGGACUUUAAAAUCAUAGAAGACAUUAGAUUUUAUUCUCUACUAAACUCUUCUAAUGAAUUGUUAUUUUCGCUGUGAAUAUUGAUCUAAAACUUGUUGUCCAUUAUAUUUUAUCUGAUUUGUUGAAGGCUAACGAUAAUUGUUGUUCAUUAUCUUAGUCAUAAUAUUCUUUACUGGGCUAGUUGAGCUCACCCUUUUCCUUUUUGUUCCAUUUUUUUCUCAGGAGGCGAGAAUAUAACGGGAACUAGUCGGGGUAUGGAAUGAUGGUUCUAGACAGUUAUUUUAGCAGUUCUCACUAUUUUUGUAAAAUAGUGUAUCAAUAAUUAUAAUGAGGACUUAUUUGAGUGUGGAUAUUGUCUAGAAGACAAUAUUUGUAUUUAAACUCACAGUAUAUGUGUUAUCAUAUUUUGCACGACAAUUGUAAUAAUAAAGUUGUAGUUGUUUUCUGUACCAUGUUUUUGGCGACCAAAGAUGGGUGAUGUAUACCUAUUUUGGGGGCGUCACAGUUGGUAUUAGAGCUUAGGGAUAUGGUCUCUGGCGGAGAUAGAACUAGGAGGGGAGAGACGAGUAAAUCCUUCGCUAGUGUGUCCUACCUAAGCUUAUUUGUUGGUUGGUCAGAAUAUAGGGGUAUUAUGUGGUAUGUUAUUUUCUUUAAUUAACCCUUGUUUUGUGGCAAUAUUUGAGAAUGGUAGCUGGAAAUGUUAACAACGGAGUAAAUGAGACCGUGGAGACACCUUUAAUCACCAACCAGGAGAACGUGCAACAGGACGACAAUGUUCCUCUUGUAAACAACACCACCGAUCAAAUGAUGAAUGAUGGAUGUUUAGAAGCUUUUUUGCAGUUCAUGCAAAAUCAGACGAGGGAGACUCGUGAACAAAAUACGGGUGAAAAUGAUAGCAACGCGCGGCUUGUCACAGCCAAGUAGUUCAAAGAGUUGGGACCACAAGAGUUUUUGGGAAAGCCAAAUCCGAUUAAGGCAAAAACGUGGGUUAAGAAAAUUUCAAGAUAUUUGAUGUCUUGGGAUUCAUAGAGGAAUAGAAGGUUCUAUUCUCCACCUUUAUGUUCCGUGGUUAGGCAGAUUACUGGUGGGAAUCUGUGAAGCAUACCCAGCCAGCCGCACUCAAUAUAUCUUGGGAAAUAUUUUAGAAACUGUUUAAUGACAAGUACUUUCCUGAAAGUAUUCGUCAUAUGAAGGAGGUAGAGUUUAUUAGACUGGAACAGAACAACAUGACUGUGUCCCAGUACGAGGCUAAUUUUGCGGAGUUAUCCAGGAUUGCACCUCAUUUGGUAGAGAAUGAGGAACGUAUGACGCGGAUGUUUUUAAGAGGGUUGAAACCCAAAAUUUAUCAGUACCUUAUUUCUCACAAAUUUUCUCUAUAUUCAGAUGUUGUUAACAAGGCUCAAUUAUUAGAGUGAGAUAAUGAGUAUGUUCAACCGAGGGCAGCAGUCAUCAGAGCAAUGAUAACCAGCGGGAAGGAAAAAAUACGGACAAAAGCGAUAACCACUCUGGUGGUAAUCAUGGCCAUGAUAGUAGAAGAAGCGAGUCGAGGGGAGAUUUCAAAAAGAGAAGGUACAACAAUGACAAUGUGAAGACGUCAGCAUCAACAUCAACUGUUUCUAGGGGAGGAGAACGACCACCGGUCGUAUGUUAUAAAUGCUGGAAAGAGGGACACAUCAGCCCAAACUGCCCACAACAAUUCAAGGUAUGUUAUAACUGUGGAAAGGAAGGUCAUAUAGCUCGAGAUUGUUCUAUAGAAAAACCAAGUCCAGCGAGGAUGGUGAUUCCAAAGGCUGUCCCGGACAAGUAAAAGUCAACGGUUCCUGAAAGAACGUUUGUCGUGACUGGCCAAAACGCGAGGAGCCCAAACGAGGUGAUCACGGGUAAGCUAAUUAUAAACUCUUGCGAAGUUAAUACCUUAUUAGAUACCAUUUCUACCCAUUCUUUUAUCUCUCUUUCUUGUGCUCAACGUUUGAACUUAACUCCGGAGAAAUUAGACUUUGACUUAUCUAUUGAGACUCCGUUAGGAGAAACUUUCAUUACACUCACUGUUUAUAAAUCUUUCUUGAUCCAAGUUAGCAUAAUCACAUUACCUGUUGAUCUUAUCUCUUUAAAGAUACUUGCAUUUGAUGUGAUUUUAGGAUUGAUUGGUUAAGAUCUCAUCAUGCUAAAAUUGAUUAUUUUCGUAAGGUUGUUAGUUUUCAUAUUCCUAACCAACCUGUUAUGCCAAUUCAAGCGACCAAACUGCUAAAUUUAAUCACUGUCAUAUCAAGCCAUAAAUCCAUUCGUUUAUUAAAAAAUGGAUGUCAAGCUUUCUUAGCCCAUGUCAUGGACUUGAACAAAAACACGUCAGAUUUGAAUAAUAUUUCUGUUGUUAGUGAAUUUCUUGACGUAUUUCCUGAAGAACUUCCUGGUCUACCCCCAGAACGUGAAGUUGAAUUCUUUAUUGACCUUGAACCUGGUACAAAACCCAUUUCUAAAACCCCAUAUAGAAUGGCUCCUAUUGAAUUUCAGGAGUUAAAGGUCUAACUACAGGAGUUGUUAGACAUCGGUUUCAUUCGUCCUAAUACAUCUCCUUGGGGUGCUUCUGUUUUAUUCAUAAAGAAGAAAGACGAGAGUAUGCGACUUUGUAUUGAUUACCGGGAAUUGAACCAUGUCACCAUCAAUAAUAGGUAUCCGCUAUCUCGCAUUGAUGACCUAUUCGACCAGUUGCAAGGAGCACAAUUCUUUUCAAAGAUCGAUCUUCGUUCUGGAUAUCAUCAGCUGAAGAUUAAAACUGAGGAUAUUCCGAAGACUGCCUUCAGAACUCGGUACGGGCAUUAUAAAUUCUUAGUCAUGUCUUUUGGAUUAACUAAUGCUUCUGCUGCUUUCAUGGAUAUGAUGAACCGUGUGUUCAAGGAAUAUUUGGAUUAGUUCGUUGUUAUCUUUAUUGAUGAUAUCCUCAUCUAUUCCAAAAGCCGUAAAGAUCAUGAGCACCAUUUGAAGCUGGUACUUCAAAGGUUUUGUGAAAAUAAGCUAUAUGCCAAGCUGAAGAAAUGCAACUUUUGGUUUGAGGAAGUAGCAUUCCUUGGGCAUGUGGUGUCAAAACAUGGAGUAUCUGUUGACCCGACGAAGAUUGAAGCAAUACAAAGUUGGGAACAACCGAAGUCGGUGACCGAAGUACGUAGCUUUCUGGGCUUAGCCGGUUAUUAUCUUAGAUUUAUGGAAGGAUUUUCUCGAAUUGCUACUCCGUUAACUCAGCUGACUCAGAAAGAUACAAAAUUCGUAUGGAGUGAGGAAUGCGAGAAGAGUUUCCAAGAGCUCAAGAGGAGACUCAUUUCGGCACUUGUUCUAUAAAUACCAUCUAGUUCGGAUGGAUUUGUUAUCUACAGUGAUGCUUCAGGCAAAGGGUUAGGAUGUAUUCUCAUGCAACAUGGGAAAGUUACAGCCUAUGCCUCGCAACAACUCAAAGAAUAUGAGAGGAAUUAUCCUACUCAUGAUCUGGAGUUGGCAGCAAUCGUUUUCUAGUUGAAAAUUUGGAGACACUACUUGUAUGGGGAGAAAGUGGAGAUUUAUACGGAUCAUAAAAACCUCAAAUAUUUUUUCACCCAAAAGGAACUCAACAUGCGACAACGACGUUGGCUCGAGCUAUUGAAAGAUUAUGACCAUACCAUUCAAUAUCAUCCUGGAAAAGUAAACGUGGUAGCUGACGUAUUGAGUAAAAGAUCGUUUACGGGUACGAGUGCGAUGUUUUUAACACAAAGACCCAUUUUGUAAGACUUACAAAGGAUGGGGAUAGAGUUAAAGGCUCCAAGUGCCCAUAUGAUGAUAUCAAACAUAUGAGUAGAACUGACUUUAAUCGAUAAAGUUAAAGCUGCUUAAGCCACAGACCCAGAGUUGAUGCUUAUGAAGAAGAAAGUACAAGAAGGUGUUAUUCUAGAAGCAAUAAUCGAUGAAGAAAGAAUACUUUGAGUCAACUCCAGACUUUUCAUUCUUAACGAUUCUGACUUAAAGCAUAGAAUCAUGAUGGAGGCACACAACACACCAUUUUCAAUCCAUCGUGGGAGUACCAAAAUGUAUCAUGAUCUUCGAUAUACAUUUUGGUGGAACAAUAUGAAGAGAGAUAUCGCGGAGUUUAUCUCGAGGUGUUUAACUUGUCAACAUGUAAAGGCGGAGCAUCAAGUGUCAAAGGGUCCAUUGCAACCACUUGAGAUUCUGAAAUAGAAGUGGGAACACAUUACCAUGGAUUUCGUAAUGGAUCUUCCCAAGGUUUCUCAAGGCAUAAAUGUGAUUUGGGUUAUUGUUGAUAGAUUAACCAAGUCUGCUCAUUUCUUGCCGAUACGGGAGACUUAUUCCCUUGAACGUCUUGCUCGUAUGUACGAGAAUGAGAUUGUGAGAUUGCAUGGCAUGACAGUAUCCAUAGUUUCGGAUCGUGACCCAAGAUUCACUUCAAGAUUUUGGGUUAGCUUGUAGAAAGCUAUGGGCACGGAUUUACGAUUCAGUUUGGCAUACCAUCCUCAAACGGACGGGCAAUCGGAAAGGACUAUUCAAACUCUUGAAGAUCUAUUAAGACUCUGUGUCCUAGAUUUAAAAGGAAGUUGGGAUAAAUACUUGUCAUUAGUGGAAUUCUCCUACAACAACAGUUAUCAAACAAGUAUAGACAUGGCUCCAUUUGAGGUGUUGUACGGACGAAAGUGUCGUUCUCCAGUAUGCUAGGACGAGGUGGGUGAAGCAAGGUUGUUGGGACCAGAAUUGGUACGCAUGACUACAGAAAAGAUCCAAACGAUUCGACAACGUAUACAAAUGACACAGGAUCGACAAAAGAGUUAUGCGGAUCUUCAUCGAAAGGACGUUGAAUUUAAUAUUAGGGAUCAUGUAUUGUUAUGUAUUGCUCCAUGGAAGGAAGUUACAAGAUUUGGGAAGAGAAGAAAGCUCAAUCCAUGAUUUGUUGGUCCAUUUGAGAUUCUUGACCGAAUAAGAAAUGUGGCCUAUAGACUCGUAUUACCUCCAAGCAUGUCUCGUGUUUAUAAUGUUUUUCACAUAUCUAUGCUUCAUAAAUAUGUGAAAGACCCAAACCACAUUAUUGAGUUAGAACCAGACGAGAUAGCCGAAGAUUUAACGUACGAGGAGGUACCUGUCAAGAUCUUAGAUAGGAAAGAGCAUGUCUUACGCACAAAGAUUAUACCAAAAGUCAAAGUUUUAUGGAGGAACCAUGCUAUUGAGGAAAUGACUUGGGAGUUGGAAUCAGAAAUGAAAGUGAGGUAACCUCACCUUUUCGAAACACCAGGUACAUACGUCAAUUUCGAGGACAAAAUUUUAUAAUGAGGGGAGGUUGUAAGACCCCAACUUUUAUAAAUAAAAUUGAAUUUUCUCUUUUCAUUAUUUUGAAAUAAUAAGGUGUUAAUUUGAUAUAAUUCUUUGGUUAUGAGUAAAAUGUGCAAAUUUUGUAAAAUAAGCAAGUGGUUAUAAAAUAUUCAUUGUUGUCGGGGAAUAUUCGUUUGGUUGUAGAAUAUUCUUGUUGUCGGGGAAUAUUCGUACGACGAUGAAUCCAUUUGUGGGCCCCAUAAUGGAAAACAGUCGGAUGAAGAAAACAACAAAUUUGAGUUUUUAUAAAUAAUGGCGUAGUUGUUACCAUUAACACUGUUGGAAUACCUGAUGGUUAAAGUACAGUAAUACGCGUGGUUGCACAGUAGCACACGGUAUUGCACAGUAUUUUUGGAUUAUUGAUUCUUACAUAAGAAGGCACUACUCAAUAAUUUUUACAGUAAUUACUGUUCAAUAUUUUAUUUUAUUGAUUCAUUAAUUAUUAAGUUGAUAUUUUAUAUUAUUGUUAAUUCAAUAAUUGUCACUGCAUAGUAUUUCCCAUUAUCAUAUCAAUAAUUUAUAUUAUUUGAAUAAUAUUAUUAGAUUUUAUUAUUGGCAAUGUCUAAGAAGUUCUAUCUAGGAAAGGGGUUUGGUCACCUAAUUGCGCGCCAGUAAGGAGAAAUCCUUAUCGGAAAGCCCCCUUCUUUCCUGGGAACGACCUGAUUGUCAUAAUUGUGAUUCUGUAAUAUUAUUUGUGAAUAAUUAAUUAUUGAUUUAUAUGAUAAGAAAAUAUUUAUUUUAUGUGGAUAUAAAUGAAGGAAUUAAUGCUGAGGUGUUUUAUCAGUAUUUUGUCAGAAUGAAGGUAUUAAAAAUCGUCCGUAUGUAAAUUUUGGUCAUUUUCUGCUUGGAAUUUGGAAAAAUUUUAUCCUACAAAGUUGUAGAGAAUUACAUUUCCUAUGGAAUGGACAUAAAAUUCGUAUUUUUCUAUGAAAAGGGCAAUUUAUUAUGAAUUAUUGAAGUUUUGGAAAUAAAUGUUUUUUAAUUAAAAAUAUGGGUGGGCCCUACUUUUGGUUGGUAUGAAAAUUCUGAAUUUGGUGGGCCCCACUGUGGUGUGCUGAUAUUUGAUCAAUUGUGGCGUGCGUGAAAAUUUUUGAUAAAAUAUUAUUUUAUUAAUUUAGUCUGCUUUGGCAUUCUAGCAUUUUCCUAUAACUAGGAUUCUUAGUUAGAAUUGAAAAUCACACCAGAAUCAGAAGUUUUCUUUCUCUAUAAUAUCGAGAGUAUUUUUGUGAGUAUUUAGAUACUUUGAGAGUUGCUAUUCAGUGCAAGUUCCUUCAGCAUUAUAUCUGAUAUUUCAGCUAGAAGUGCUAUUCUUUUGAGGUAAGGGAUAUUAUUUUCUUCGUAAAUGAUGUUAUUUCUUUCAAUAUCAUUAUACUGAAAUAUUAGUAUGAAUUUUAUUAUGAAAUUUUUACCUUUUCAUGUUGAGGUUACUAUUCACGAAUACGACACUAUUCACGUAUACGACAUUAUUUACAAAUACGAUACUAUUCACCAAAAAAUGAAAUUUUUUCUUCUUUGUCCCAGAUGGCUAUUAUGGUUACUAUCUUUGAUUGUAUCCAUGUUUUGAUCUUUAUUAUUGAAUUUUUCUCCACUAUGGUUUAUUAUGGAGUAUUUUUGAAUUUGGAUUAUCUAAAGUACGAAUCCCUAAUCUUUGUCCGUUAUUCUCAAUGGAUUCGUUCUUUAAAAUAUUUUUCAUCAUCCUCAGUCUUUAAUGGUGAUACUUGAUGAAUAUCUUUGGCCUGUAGUACAAAGAUGAAUGAUUACCUAAUGAAUAUAUUUGACCCAUAGUGCAAAGAUGGACAGGUGUUGAGAUGAACAUGACCAACUGUUGAUACAAAUGAAUAUCUUUGGCCCGUAAAACAAAGAUGAAUAUUUGGUUCAAGAUGUAUAUUGAUUGAUGUUACAGGGAUAAAAUAUUGAUGAUAAACUUUUAAAUCAUAGAAGACAUUAGAUUUUAUUCUCUACUAAACUCUUCUAAUGAAUUGUUAUUUCCGCUGCGAAUAUUGAUCUAAAACUUAUUGUCCAUUAUAUUUUAUCUGAUUUAUUGAAGGCUAACAAUAAUUUAUUGUUCAUUAUCUUAGUCAUAAUAUUCUUUACCGGGCUAGUUGAGCUCACUAUUUUCCUUUUUGUUUCAUUUUUCUUCUCAGGAGGCGAGAAUAUAGCGGGAACUAGUCGGGGUAUAGAAUGAUGGUUCUAGACAGUUGUUUUAGCAUUCCUCACUAUUUUUGUAAAAUAGUGAAUCAAUAAUUAUAAUGAGGACUUAUUUGAGUGUGGAUAUUAUCUAGAAGACAAUAUUUUUAUUUAAACUCACAGUAUAUAUGUUAUCGUAUUUUGCACGACAAUUGUAAUAAUAAAGUUGUAGUUAUUUUCUAUACCAUAUUUUUGACGAUCCAAGAUGGGUGAUGUAUACCUAUUUUGGGGGCGUCACAGUAGGAAUACAAACCAAAUAAUAUUACUUACAUACUACAGAGUAUGGAAAAAAUAUUAUUUCAUACGAGUAUUGAACAAAAAUAUUAUCCCUUACCUUAGAAGAAGACUGUAUACUAGAAUAAUGAAGUAGCAGAAUACUCUUCUUCUUUCUCUCUAUAGUUUCUCUCUUUAUAAUUUCUCUUGUGAGUCUUAAUGAAUUGGUGAGAAUGAAAGAAGAAUGAGCUUCUAUUUAUAGGAAAACAUAGUUUCGAUAAUUGCACGUUUUGGGGCUCGAAUUAUUAUAGUAUAUUAUUACCUUCAUCUUUUCCUCCAUUUUAAAUUUAGUCCUACAAGUAUUAUCAAACUUGCACCACCUCCCCUAAUAGUACAUGAAUGUGAAUCAAUACUUCCAUUCAUGUGAAUAAAUAGUUAUAUGCAUGUAAACUAAUAGCAAUUAAUUGCUCAUUUAUCCGAUUAAUUACCCGAUUGGUCAAUUUAACCUCCAGAAAUCAAUUAUUAUCGAAAUAAAUGUUGAUUUCCACUAACACUAAUAAUCCCAACACAAUGGAAAUAUCAAUUUUAUCUUUAAUCAACGCAAACUUAUUCAUCUUUAAUAUUAUAACUCAUAGUAUCUAACAACCAGAUCAUUCCCAGGAAAGAGGGGGCUUUCCGAUAAAGAUUUCUCCCUAUUGGCGCACAAUUAGGUGACAAAACCCUUUUCCUCGACAGAACUUUCUAGACAUCGUCAAUAAUGCAAAUAAUAAUAUGAAUAACUUUUAUAUCUCAAUUAUUGAUUUAAUAAUAUAAAAUAUUAUGCAGAUGAUACUGUGACAAUAAUUGAAUCAAUAAUAUGAGAGAUAUUAUGCAGUAAUUAUUGUAGCAAUAAUUGAGUAUAACUGAGUGACUUCUCACGUAAGCAUUAAUAAUCAAAGAUAUUGUACAAUACCGUAUGCUACUAUGCAACCACGCGUAUUACUGUAAUUUUACCACCAGGUAUUUCAACAGUUAACGGUAAAAUUUUCGUCGUUAAUUUUAUAAAAAUAUAUUUCUGUCAUUUUCUAACUCCGACAAUACAUCCAUUAUAAGACCACAACUUUUAUAAAUAAAAUUGAAUUUCCUCUAUUCAUUAUUUUAAAAAAAUAAGAUGUUAAUUUGAUAUAAUGCUUUGGUUAUGGGUGAAAUGUGCAAAAAUUUCAAAAUAAGCAAGUGGUUAUAAAAUAUUCAUUGUUGUCGGGGAAUAUUCGUUUGGUCAUGGAAUAUUCUUGUUGUCGGGGAAUAUUCGUUUGGUCAUGGAAUAUUCUUGUUGUCGGGGAAUAUUCGUACAACGGCGCAGCCAUUUGUGGGCCCCAUAACACAAAAACGGUCGGAUGAAGAAAAUGACAAGUUUGAGUUUUUAUAAAUUACGGGGUAGUUGUUACCGUUAACACUGUUGGAAUACCUGAUGGUUAAAGUACAGUAAUACGCGUGGUUGCACAGUAGCACAUGGUAUUGCACAGUAUUUUUGGAUUAUUGAUUCUUACGUAAGAAGGCACUACUCAAUAAUUGUUACAUUAAUCAUUGUUCAAUAUUUUAUUUUAUUGAUUCAAUAAUUGCUGCGUUGAUAUUUUAUAUUAUUGUUGUUUCAAUAAUUACCACUGCACAAUAUUUCCCAUUAUCAGAUCAAUAAUUCAUAUUAUUUGAAUAAUAUUAUUAGAUAACCUUAUUGGCAAUGUCUAAGGAAGUUCUGUCUAGAAAAGGGAUUUGGUCACCUAAUUGCGCGCCAGUAAGGAGAAAUCCUUAUCGGAAACCCCCUCUUUUCUGGAAACGACCUGGUUGUCAUUAUUGUGAUUCUGUAAUAUUAUUUGUGAAUAAUUAAUUAUUGAUUUAUAUGAUAAGGAAAUAUUUAUUUUAUGUGGUUAUAAAUGAAGGAAUUAAUGUUGAGGUAUUUUAUCAGUAUUUUGUCAGAAUGGAGGUAUUAACAAUCAUCUGUAUGUGGAUUUCAGUCAUUUUCUGUUUAGAAUUUGAAAAAACUUUCUUCUACAAAGUUGUAGAGAAUUAAAUUUCUUAUGGAAUGGACAUAAAAUUUAUAUUUUUCUGAUAAAGGGCUAUUUAUUAUGAAUUAAGUGGAAUGAAGAUAUCAAAUUGAUUUAGUUUUCGAAUUAAAUUUGAAUUCUUUUAUUUUUUUUUUCAAAAAACAUAUGUUAAUGGUGGGUGAGCAAAGGUUGGCUUUAAAAAGUCUUGUUUCAAAGUAGGUGGGCUACAAAUAAUGUGCGUAUGUAAAUUUUAUCAGUAAUGGUGGGCUGACAUUUCCCUAUAAAUAGGGUGCUUAGUUAGAAAUGAAAUCACACCAUAAUCAGAAGUUUUAUCUCUAUAAUAUCAAACGUAUUUUUGUGAUUAUUUAGAUAAUUUGAGAGUUGCUAUUCAGUGCAAGUUUUUUUCAACAUUAUAUCUGAUAUUCCAAUCAGAAGUACUGUUCUUUUGAGGUAAGGGAUUUUUUUUUUUUUUCAUAAAUGAUAUUAUUUCUUUCAAUAUCAUUAUACCAAAAUAUUGGUAUGAAUUCUUGUGGAAAUUUUACCUUUUCAUGUCUAGGCUACUAUUCACGUAUACGACACUAUUUACGUAUACGACACUAUUCACGAAUACGGUACUAUUCACAAGUACUAUUCACGAAGUAUGAUUUUUCUUGUGAAAUUUCUACCUUUUGGUGUCAGGGUUACUAUUCACGUACAACACUAUUCACGUAUACGACACUAUUCACGAAUAUGGCACUAUUUACUGAAAAAAUUAAAAUUUUUUUCUUUGUCCAAGUUGUCUAUUAUGGUUACUAUCUUUGAUUGUAUCCAUGUUUUGAUCUUCAUUCUUGAAUUUUGCUCCACAAUUAAUUAUUAUGGAGUAUUUUUGAACUUGGAUAAAGUAAAGUACGAAUCCCUAAUAUUUGAUCUUUUAUCUCACUGGAUUCGUUUUCUUUAAGAUAUUUUUCAUCAUCCUCAGUCCUAAAUGGUGAUAUAACUGAAUAUCUUUGGCCUGUAGUGCAUAGAUGAAUGAUUACCUGAUGAAUAUUUUUGGCGCGUAUUGCAAAGAUGGACAGGUGUUGAGAUGAACAUGACCAACUGAUGAAUAUCUUUGGCCUGUAGUGCAAAGAUGAAUAUUUGAUUCAAGAUGUAUAUUGUGACGCCCCCAAAAUAGGUAUACAUCACCUAUCUUGAGUCGCCAGAUACAUGGUACAUAAAUCAAAUACAAACUUAAUUAUACAACAGUCGUGUAAAAUACGACAAAACAUAGCUGAGAGUUUAAACAAGAAUAUUGUCAUCUAGAUAAUAUCCAUACUCAAUGGUGUCCUCAUUGCAAUUAUUAUCACAUUAUUCUGUAGAAUAGUGAAGACUACUAAAGCCAUUUAUCCUGGACCAUCACUCCAUUCCCCGACUCGUCCCAGCUAUAUUCUCAUUUCCUGAAGAGAACAAUGAAAGAAAGGGUGAGCUCAACUAGCCCAGUAAGAAAUAUUAUGACUAAGAUAAUGCAGAAUAAAUUAUCCUUAGCCUUCAACAGUAUAACAACUGAUAGAAUACAAUAGACAACAAGUUUUAGAUCAACAACUGCAGCGGAAAUAAGCAAUCCAUUAGAAGAGUCAAGUAGAGCAUAAAAUCUACUAUCUUCUAUGAUUUAAAAAGUUUUUCAUCAACUUUAUCGCUGAGACUCAGCUUAAUAAAUAAAAUCGAAUCAUCCCUGCACCACGGCCAAGGAUAUUCAUGUAAUCAUCAAUGGUCAUGAUUAUACCGAAUAAUCCCUGGUCAUAAUCAUACCAACAACUGUCCAUCAAUGAACUACAGGCCAAUGAGGACUUUUACCACAUCAUUCGUCACAUUACGGUCAUGAUUAUACCGAAUAAUCCCUGGUCAUAAUCAUACCAAGUCCAUCUAUGCACGUAAGCCAAAGAUGACUUUCAUCACAAUAUAAGCAUGAGGAUGAUGACAAUGACAUAAUAAUUCAAUAAAACAAGUUCAAGGAUAAAUUUUAAAGAUUUAUAAUUUAAUUUAUCCAGAAAUCAAUAACGCCCAAAUUGUCAACAUGAUACUGCUUUGUAGAGUAAAAUUCAAGAAUAAUAUUCAUGUACAAAAAAUAAUUUGGACAGAAAAGAAAUAUAUUUUUCGGGUGAAUAGUAUCCCGUGAAUAAUACUUUGGGAAUAGUACCUCAUGAAUAGUACCUCGACACGAAAAGUGUCCCGAAUACCCGAGUGAAUGAUACUAGAGUGAAUAGUAAUUGGGUUAAUAGUAACCCGCGUGAAUAGUAACUCGUGAAUAGUACUCCGGCACGAAAAGUACCUCGAAUAUCCGAGUGAAUAAUACCAGAGUUAAUAAUAACUGGGUGAAUAGUAACCCGUGAAUAGUAACUCAUAAAAAAAAUACCAAAGAAAAUGAUAUUCCAUGACGAGUACAAAAGAAAUGAUAUCUCAGACGAGUAUAAUAGAAUAUACGAAACUGCAAAUGGAUUUUCACCCGCCAUGCGGUAAUCCACGUAGACAGAUCAUUUCCACAAUUUAAUAAAGAAUGAAUACAAAGGAUCAUUCACUAUGCAUGCGGUAAUCCACAUAGAUAGAUUAUUCCAACAGAAUAAUAAAGAAUGGAAUAACAAAAGAAUUCACCAGGCAUGCGAUAGACCACACAGAUAGGUUAUUCCCAACAGAAUAAUAAAGAAUGGAACCAGGUCAUGCGUAAUCCGCACAGACAGGAUAUUCCAACAGAAUAAUAAAAAAUAGAAUAACAAUAGAAUUCACCAGGCAUGCGAUAGACCGCACAGACAGGUUAUUCCAACAGAAUAAUAAAGAAUAGAAUAACAGAAGAAUUACACCAUGUAUGUGGUACUUCGUAUAGACAGAUUAUUCCAACAACAUAAUAAAGAAUGGAAUAACAACCCUUAUGAGUAUUGGAAGAAAAUAACUCUCUUCAUGAAUACGAAAGAAUAAUACCCCUUACCUCAAAAGAAGACUGGAUACUGGAAUAGUGAGGUAGCAGACUUCUCUUCUUCUUUCUCUCUAUAAUUUCUCUCUAUAAUAAUUGCUCUAUAACUUUAGUGAAUUUGUUAGAAAUAAUGAAGGAAUGAGCUUCUAUUUAUAGGAAAAUAUAGUUUCGAUAAUUGCAUAUUUUGGGGCUCGAAAUAUUACAGUAUAAUACCUUCCUCUUUUUCUUCAUUUUUAAUUUAGUCCUGCAAGUAUUAUCAAACAUGCACCACCUCUCCUAAUAGUAAAUCAUGUGAAUCAAUAGUAAAGGAUGUGACUCAAUAGUUCUAUACAUGUGAAAAAAUGAAUUACAGUAUAAUACCUCCAUCUAUACCUCCAUUUUUAACUUAGUCAUGCAAGUAUUAUCAAUCUUGCAUCAACUCCCCUAAUAGUAAAUGGAUUUGAAUAAAUAGUACACACAUGUGAAUAAAUAGUUAUAAUCAUGUUAAUCAAUAGCAAUUAAUUGCUCAUUUAUCUGGUUAAUUACCCGAUUGGUCAAUAUAACCUCCAGACAUCAAUUAUUAUCGAAAUAAAUGUCGAUUUUCACUAACACUAAUAAUUCCAACACAAUGGAACUAUCAAUUUUAUCUUUAAUCAACACGAACUUAUUCAUCAUUAAUAUUAUAAUUCACAAUAUUUAACAACCAGGUCGUUCUUAGGAAAGAGGGGACUUUCCAAUAAGGAUUUCUCCUUAUUGGCGCGCAAUUAGGUGACCAAACCUCUCCUUGACAGAACUUCUAGACAUUGUCAAUAUUGUAAAUAAUAAUAUGAAUAACUUUGUCAUCUCAAUUAUUAAUUUAAUAAUAUAACAUAUUAUACAAAUGAUACAGUGACAAUAAUUGAAUCAUUAAUAUGAGAGAUAUUAUGCAACAAUUACUGUAGCAAUAAUUGAGUAUAACUGAGUGACUUUUCACGUAAGCAUCAAUAAUCCAUACCGUGUGCUACUAUGCAACCACGCGUAUUACUGUACUUUUACUAUCGGGUAGUUCAACAGUUUGACGGUAAAACUUUCAUCGUUAUUUUUAUAAAAAGAUAAUUCUGUCAUUUUCUAACUACGACAAUACUUCCGUUGUGGGGUCCACCAAUGAUUGUGCCGUCGUACGGAUAUUCCCCGACAAAAAGAAUAUUCCCCAACCAAUCGAAUAUUAUAUAACAACUUGCAUACUUUGAAAAAUUUAUAAAUAUUACCAACAACUCUAACAUUAUAUCAAAUCCACACCAUAAUAUUCAAAAAAAUAUUUUGAGAAAUUUAAAUCUUUAUUCAUAAAAUUUGGGGUCUCAUAAUCUCCCCUCCUUAUGAAAUUUCGCCCUCAAAAAUUACGUACGUACCUGGUAUGCCGAUGAGGUGAGGAUACCUUGACUUCAUUUCAUAUUCCAACUCUUGAGGUAUAACCUUUGAGUGUUGAAUAUGAUCCUUCUUAUCCAAGAUUUUAACAAGUAUCUCAUUAUACGUUAAAUCCUCUGCUAUAUCGUCUAGUUUUAAUUUAAUAAUGUUGUUCGGGUCGUCCACAUAUUUACGUAACAUUGAUACGUGAAAAACGUUAUGAACACGCAACAUACUUGACGGUAAAACGAGUCUAUAGGCCACAGUUCCUACUCGAUCGAGGAUUUCAAAUGAGCCAAUAAAAUUGAGGGUUGAUAUUUCCUCUUUUCAUUGACUCUUGCGUCUAGAAUAACGCCUUCUUGAACCUUCUUCUUUAUUUUCAUCAGCUCCAGGUGUGUAGUUUGAGCGGCUUUAACUUUAUCGAUUAAAGUCGAUUCUACUCGUAUAUUCGUUAUCUUCACGUGGGUCCCUAGAGUCUUUAACUCUAUCUUCAUCAUUUGUAAGUUAUACGAAAUGGGUUUUUGUGUUAACAACAUCGCACUCGUAAACGCAUACGAUCUUCUACUCAACGCGUCAGCUACCACGUUCGCUCUUCCACGAUGAUAUUGAAUGGUAUAGUCGUAAUCUUCAACAGCUCGAGCCAACGUCCUUGGCGCAUGAUACGUUUAUUUUAGUUGAAGAAAUAUUUGAGGGUUUUAGAAAUGGGUUUUGUAUUGGGGUCAAUACAAAAUUCGAUUUCACGCUUUGGGGGUAGACCAAGAAGUCUUCAAGAAUACGUCAGGAAAUUUAUUACCUAUAGAAAUAUCAUUCAAAACUGUGACUCUCAUCCAAGACUUGGAUAGCACAUGAAAUGAAAGUUUCUACUAACGAAGUUUCAACCGAUAAGUCAAAGUCUAAUCUCUCAGGAGUUAAAUUUAAACGUUGAGCGCAAGAAAGAGAGAUAAAAUAAUGGGUGGAACCGAUAUCUAAUAAGGUAUAGACUUUGCAAGAAUUUAUAAUUAAAUAACCCAUGCUAACUUCGUUCGGGUUACUCGCUUUUUGAGAAGUCACGAAAAACACUCUUCUUAAAACUACUGACUUUGUUUUGUCCGUAUCCGCCUUUGGUGCCACCGUCCCCAGCUGAACUUGACUUUGGUGCAUGACAAAAUCGGGAUAGGUGACCUUCUUUUCCACAAUUAUAACAUGCUUUGGACUGCAUCACGCAGUUUAGACUGAUAUGUCCCUCCCGUCCGCAUUUAAACCAUACAAUUGGUGGUCGUUCUCCUUCCUUGAAAACCGGUGUUGGUGCUGCUGUCUUUCCAUCAUUGUUGAACCUUCUCUUCUUGAAAUUUCCACUCCUAUUAUCUUGGCCAUGGUUACCACCGAAGUGGUUACCAUUCUUGGCAUGAUAAUUUCCCCCACGAUGGUUAUCAUUGUUCCGAUGGCCGUUGCCACCGGUACGAUUAUUAUCGUGUUAUUGGUCGUUGCCUUUUGGUUGUGCUGACUCAUUAUCGCGCUCCAAUAACUAAACCCUAUUCACAACAUCUGAAUAUAAACAAAUUUUGUGAAAAAUGAGGUAUUGACGUAUAUCGGGUUUCAAACCUCUUAGAAACAUCCGCGUCAUUCUCUCCUCAUUCUCAACCAAGUGGGACGUAAACCAAGAAAACUCGGCAAACUUAGCUUCGUACUGCGCCAUGGUCAUGUUGUUUUUCUCAAGCUUGAUGAACUCUACCUCCUUCAUGUGACGAAUACUUUCAGGAAAGUACUUGUCGUUGAAUAUCUCUUGGAACUUCUCCCAAGACAUCUUGAGUGUGGCAGGUUGAGUACGCUUUACAGAUUCCCACCAAUAAUCUGCCUCUUCACGCAAUAUAAAGGUGGCAAAUGGAACCUUUUGCUCCUCGGAGCAUCCCAAGACAUCAAAUAUCUUGGUGAUCUUCAUUAUCCACGUCUCCGCCUUAAGUGAUUCUGGCUUUCCCAAAAACUCCGGCAGUCCCAGCUCCUUGAACUGCUUAGCAGUGACCAGCCGUGGGUUGCCAUUGUUUCCACCCGCAUUUUGAACAAGAGUCUCUCUCGCCUGAUGUUGCAUGAAUUACAUAAAGCCUCUGAACAUCUCAUCGUUCAUCAUCUGAUCGGUGUUGUUAUUUACCUGAGGAUUAUUGUCUUCUUGUUGCACAUUAUCCUGGGUAUUGAUCGUUGGUGACUCAACGGUCUCAUGUGCUUCAUUGCUUAUCUCAAUAUUUUCAGAUGCCAUUCUCAAACACUAUCAAAAAACAAGGGUUAAUUAACAUGUCACAUAUUAUCCCUAUACUCUGACCGACCAAUUAAAUACCAAAUAAACCUAGGUAGGCCAUACUAGCGAAGGAAUUCCCCGUCUCUCCCCUCCUAGUUCUUAUCUCACAUCUCAGCCAGGGAUCAUAUCCCUAAGCUUUGAUACCAACUGUGACGCCCCCAAAAUAGGUAUACAUCACCCAUCUUGAGUCGCCAGAUACAUGGUACAUAAAUCAAAUACAAACUUAAUUAUACAACAGUCGUGUAAAAUACGACAAAACAUAGCUAUGAGUUUAAACAAGAAUAUUGUCAUCUAGACAAUAUCCAUACUCAAUGGUGUCCUCAUUAUAAUUAUUAUCACAUUAUUUCAUAGAAUAGUGAGGACUACUAAAGCCAUUUAUCCUGGACCAUCACUACAUUCCCUGACUCGUCCCAGCUAUAUUCUAAUUUCCUGAAGAGAACAAUGAAAGAAAGGGUGAGCUCAACUAGCCCAGUAAGAAAUAUUAUGACUAAAAUAAUGCAGAAUAAAUUAUCCUUAGCCUUCGACAGUAUAACAACUGAUAGAAUACAAUAGACAACAAGUUUUAGAUCAACAACUGCAGCGAAAAUAAGCAAUCCAUUAGAAGAGUCAAGUAGAGCAUAAAAUCUACUAUCUUCUAUGAUUUAAAAAGNNNNNNNNNNNNNNNNNNNNNNNNNNNNNNNNNNNNNNNNNNNNNNNNNNNNNNNNNNNNNNNNNNNNNNNNNNNNNNNNNNNNNNNNNNNNNNNNNNNNNNNNNNNNNNNNNNNNNNNNNNNNNNNNNNNNNNNNNNNNNNNNNNNNNNNNNNNNNNNNNNNNNNNNNNNNNNNNNNNNNNNNNNNNNNNNNNNNNNNNNNNNNNNNNNNNNNNNNNNNNNNNNNNNNNNNNNNNNNNNNNNNNNNNNNNNNNNNNNNNNNNNNNNNNNNNNNNNNNNNNNNNNNNNNNNNNNNNNNNNNNNNNNNNNNNNNNNNNNNNNNNNNNNNNNNNNNNNNNNNNNNNNNNNNNNNNNNNNNNNNNNNNNNNNNNNNNNNNNNNNNNNNNNNNNNNNNNNNNNNNNNNNNNNNNNNNNNNNNNNNNNNNNNNNNNNNNNNNNNNNNNNNNNNNNNNNNNNNNNNNNNNNNNNNNNNNNNNNNNNNNNNNNNNNNNNNNNNNNNNNNNNNNNNNNNNNNNNNNNNNNNNNNNNNNNNNNNNNNNNNNNNNNNNNNNNNNNNNNNNNNNNNNNNNNNNNNNNNNNNNNNNNNNNNNNNNNNNNNNNNNNNNNNNNNNNNNNNNNNNNNNNNNNNNNNNNNNNNNNNNNNNNNNNNNNNNNNNNNNNNNNNNNNNNNNNNNNNNNNNNNNNNNNNNNNNNNNNNNNNNNNNNNNNNNNNNNNNNNNNNNNNNNNNNNNNNNNNNNNNNNNNNNNNNNNNNNNNNNNNNNNNNNNNNNNNNNNNNNNNNNNNNNNNNNNNNNNNNNNNNNNNNNNNNNNNNNNNNNNNNNNNNNNNNNNNNNNNNNNNNNNNNNNNNNNNNNNNNNNNNNNNNNNNNNNNNNNNNNNNNNNNNNNNNNNNNNNNNNNNNNNNNNNNNNNNNNNNNNNNNNNNNNNNNNNNNNNNNNNNNNNNNNNNNNNNNNNNNNNNNNNNNNNNNNNNNNNNNNNNNNNNNNNNNNNNNNNNNNNNNNNNNNNNNNNNNNNNNNNNNNNNNNNNNNNNNNNNNNNNNNNNNNNNNNNNNNNNNNNNNNNNNNNNNNNNNNNNNNNNNNNNNNNNNNNNNNNNNNNNNNNNNNNNNNNNNNNNNNNNNNNNNNNNNNNNNNNNNNNNNNNNNNNNNNNNNNNNNNNNNNNNNNNNNNNNNNNNNNNNNNNNNNNNNNNNNNNNNNNNNNNNNNNNNNNNNNNNNNNNNNNNNNNNNNNNNNNNNNNNNNNNNNNNNNNNNNNNNNNNNNNNNNNNNNNNNNNNNNNNNNNNNNNNNNNNNNNNNNNNNNNNNNNNNNNNNNNNNNNNNNNNNNNNNNNNNNNNNNNNNNNNNNNNNNNNNNNNNNNNNNNNNNNNNNNNNNNNNNNNNNNNNNNNNNNNNNNNNNNNNNNNNNNNNNNNNNNNNNNNNNNNNNNNNNNNNNNNNNNNNNNNNNNNNNNNNNNNNNNNNNNNNNNNNNNNNNNNNNNNNNNNNNNNNNNNNNNNNNNNNNNNNNNNNNNNNNNNNNNNNNNNNNNNNNNNNNNNNNNNNNNNNNNNNNNNNNNNNNNNNNNNNNNNNNNNNNNNNNNNNNNNNNNNNNNNNNNNNNNNNNNNNNNNNNNNNNNNNNNNNNNNNNNNNNNNNNNNNNNNNNNNNNNNNNNNNNNNNNNNNNNNNNNNNNNNNNNNNNNNNNNNNNNNNNNNNNNNNNNNNNNNNNNNNNNNNNNNNNNNNNNNNNNNNNNNNNNNNNNNNNNNNNNNNNNNNNNNNNNNNNNNNNNNNNNNNNNNNNNNNNNNNNNNNNNNNNNNNNNNNNNNNNNNNNNNNNNNNNNNNNNNNNNNNNNNNNNNNNNNNNNNNNNNNNNNNNNNNNNNNNNNNNNNNNNNNNNNNNNNNNNNNNNNNNNNNNNNNNNNNNNNNNNNNNNNNNNNNNNNNNNNNNNNNNNNNNNNNNNNNNNNNNNNNNNNNNNNNNNNNNNNNNNNNNNNNNNNNNNNNNNNNNNNNNNNNNNNNNNNNNNNNNNNNNNNNNNNNNNNNNNNNNNNNNNNNNNNNNNNNNNNNNNNNNNNNNNNNNNNNNNNNNNNNNNNNNNNNNNNNNNNNNNNNNNNNNNNNNNNNNNNNNNNNNNNNNNNNNNNNNNNNNNNNNNNNNNNNNNNNNNNNNNNNNNNNNNNNNNNNNNNNNNNNNNNNNNNNNNNNNNNNNNNNNNNNNNNNNNNNNNNNNNNNNNNNNNNNNNNNNNNNNNNNNNNNNNNNNNNNNNNNNNNNNNNNNNNNNNNNNNNNNNNNNNNNNNNNNNNNNNNNNNNNNNNNNNNNNNNNNNNNNNNNNNNNNNNNNNNNNNNNNNNNNNNNNNNNNNNNNNNNNNNNNNNNNNNNNNNNNNNNNNNNNNNNNNNNNNNNNNNNNNNNNNNNNNNNNNNNNNNNNNNNNNNNNNNNNNNNNNNNNNNNNNNNNNNNNNNNNNNNNNNNNNNNNNNNNNNNNNNNNNNNNNNNNNNNNNNNNNNNNNNNNNNNNNNNNNNNNNNNNNNNNNNNNNNNNNNNNNNNNNNNNNNNNNNNNNNNNNNNNNNNNNNNNNNNNNNNNNNNNNNNNNNNNNNNNNNNNNNNNNNNNNNNNNNNNNNNNNNNNNNNNNNNNNNNNNNNNNNNNNNNNNNNNNNNNNNNNNNNNNNNNNNNNNNNNNNNNNNNNNNNNNNNNNNNNNNNNNNNNNNNNNNNNNNNNNNNNNNNNNNNNNNNCGCUGCGAAUAUUGAUCUAAAACUUGUUGUCCAUUAUAUUUUAUCUGAUUUAUUUAAGGCUAACGAUAAUUUGUUGUACAUUAUCUUAGUCAUAAUAUUCUUUACUGGGCUAGUUGAGCUCACCCUUUUCCUUUUUGUUCCAUUUUUCUUCUCAGGAGGCGAGAAUAUAGCGGGAACUAGCCAGGGUGUGGAGUGAUGUUUCGAGACAGUUGUUUUAGCAGUCCUCACUAUUUUGUAAAAUAGUGCAUCAAUAAUUGUAAUGAUUACUUAUUUUUGAGUUUGGAUAUAUUCUAGAAGACAAUAUUUGUAUUUAAACUCACAUCAUAUGUGUUGUCGUAUUUUGCAUGACAAUUGUAAUAAUGAAGUUGUAGUUAUUUUCUGUACCAUAUUUUUGGUGACCCAAGAUGGGUGAUGUAUACCUAUUUUGGGGGCGUCACAUCCGUGGUGGGGUCCACCAAUGAUUGUGCCGUCGUACGAAUAUUUCCUGUUAAAACGAAUAUUCCCCGACCAAUCGAAUAUUUUAUAACAACUUUCUUACUUUGCAAAAUUUAUAAAUAUUACCCAUAACUAUAACAUUAUAUCAAACACCAUAAUAUUCAAAAAUAUAUUUCGAGAAAAAUUAAUCUUUAUUCAUAAAAGUUGGGGUCUUACACAAUCUAUAUUAGACUUAAUUAAAGUCCAUAUAUCACACUUAAUUAGACCAAUUAAUUAGCCUAAUUUAUAUAAAUAUUAUUAAUAUUCUUACAAGUUUAUCUAUGUAUUCAUCUAAAUUUAUUUAUUAUUAAUUAAAUUUAUUAAUAAUGUUUAUUUAUAUCUCUUCUUCUUCGAUAAGGGAUCGACAAGCCAUUACUUCUAUAACUACUCAAAGUCAGGGCGGUAGUUAGCUACCAGCAAUAACUUUAUAGGGUAAAAUGCAAAAUUAACCACUGAAGUUUAGCAAUUUUUGGAUAUUGAGUCCCUUUCUUUUGGUCAACAGAAAUUGAGCUCCUUUCUAUUCAAAAAUUUGAAAUUUGAGCCAUCAGGCGCCACGUGAGCGUUGACCUGCUGACAUGAGAAUUUUUCAAUUUUAUCCCAAAAAUAUGUCGCUCCACUAAUUCGAACUCAAAACACCCAGUUUGGAACUUUGAUCAUAUGACCACUGAAGUACCACGAGCUUAACUGUUAAUAUUUCGCAAGGAUUAAUCUUUAUAACAAAACAAUUCAUUUCCCACAAAAAAAUUAAAAGACAAAACAGAUCCUUAAUAUUAGCUAAGUCUCAUUUUGUCCUUUAUAUUGACUGGAACUUAUUGACGGAUCAACCUAAAAAUAGAAUACUGCAAAUCAAGGAUUUAUUGACAUCCCAUAUACAUAACAAGCACAAACACAAGCUCUUUGACAACAGUAAAUUGAUUUGAACUAAAACAAAAAAUAAUACAUUAAUCCCAAAGCUUCUUUAAUUAACCAGUUCUUGAAUAGCUCCCACACUUUGUGAAUCGCAAUUCUCUGAAUCUCUCUCCCUCGACGAAGUCGCCCCCUGUUGAACAAAAGCACGGCCGUUGUAAUUUCGACUGAUGAUGGAUUCUUCCGAUAUAGGCCUUUUCAGACCUAGCCCUCUUGAUCUAUCAAAUGAUCUACGAGAGCUCUCCAUUUACAUAGUAAAAAUUCGAUCAACCAAAAAACAUAAAUCAAAGCCCUAAUUUAAUCCCUACUUUAUUACAUAGUAAAAAAUUGAAAAAGAAAAAACUAGAUUUAUGGUAAUUAAAACUAACAAGGAUUUCAUACGAGACUUACAAAUCAGAUACCCUAAUCAUUGCCCUAAUUAUGUAUACACAAAAUCAAGAUUGAUACAAAAGUUCGAUCUUUGAAGACAAAUAUUGUGAAUUGAGGAGAGAGAUGAGAUAUGAUUGACAGAACUCCGAUAUUAGUCUUCAAAUCGAGCUGUCAGUUACUUUUUGACUCUGGUUUCAAAUUAAUUAAGUCUCAUUUCGUAAUCUUUCUCAUUUCGUAAUCUAAAUGAGACUUAGUUAAGUAGAGGUUUAGAAAAAGAGAAAGAUAAAGAGGGAAAUGAAACUUAGCUACUCUGAAGGAUCUGUUUUGUCUUUUAAUUUUUUUGGGAGAAAUGAAUUGUUUCGUUAUAAAGAUUAAUCCUUAUGAAAUAAUAAAAGUUAGGCCUGUAGUGCUUGGGUGGUCAUAUGAUCAAAGUUUGAAAUUGGGUAUUUUGAGUUCGAAUCAGUGAAGCGCUCACGUGGCGCCUGGGGGCUCAAAUUCCAAAUUUUUGAAUAGAAAGUGGCUUAAUUUACAUUAACCAAAAGAAAUGGACUUAAUACCCAAAAAUUUCUAAAGUUCAGUGGUCAAUUUUAUAUUUUACCCUAACUUUAUCAUUAUAGCAAACUAUUUCAUGUUGCUCGGAGGAAAAAAAAAAUAUUAGAAGGAAAAAGGUUUGGCCUAUUAGUACUCGGUAAGUUCUAAACAAACCAAACACAAUUAAUAAUUUUAUUUAUUUACUAAUAAUAGUUUAUAUAACUUAUACGUUAUUAAGGGCUCAAAUUUUAUGGGAGUAGUUAACAUAAAAUUAAUUUUGAUUAAUUGACUAAUAUAGUAUCAACACACAAAUUGAAAAAUAAUCUCUCCUUACGUGUCAACAUUAUAUUAAUUAAUUUAUCAUAAAAAUUUUCAUAAUAAUCAGAUCCAAAUUUUAUAUAUCAAAAAUAGUAUGUCGCGUUGGACCUCUAAAUACUACUACUUUACCCACAUUAAAAGUUAAUAAUCGAAAAAAUCUCUCUCUAUUGUCGUUUUAUUUAUCAUUAUCCAAACACUACUGCUCUACGCACAUUAAACGGUGCUGAGAAGAAACGUUGUCAUUGUCCUUUUUCUGCAUGUGUGAUUGAAGGUAAUUUGGGUCUUAUCAUUAUGUUAGAACUUAUGUUAUUAGCUGCUCAUGUUUAACUUGAGUUUUUUUUUUUUGGUAUUUUGCAAGUCUUGUGGUACUGUCCAAAGAGUAUGGAUUUUUUCCACUUUUAUAAUCAUGUUUUGGGUAUUAAUGAAUUUCAUUUUAUUGAUAAAAAAGAAAAAUAAAAUUUUUCUCUCAAAUUAGUCACAUGCGGAUCACAUUAUUGAAUUACAGAUUUAAACAUAAAUUUAUAAGCAAUAACUCUCUUGACUUUUUAAAAAUAUAUUUAAGUCAUUUUUUUUGUCCAUGUUAGUCUACGAAAAACUACUUAAUAGCUUUAAAAUUAAUAUAAAAAAAAAUUACAAUUAACUCCUACUUCUAUACCACGAAGACAAAGGCAACCAAGUGGAAUAGGCGGGUAAUUUAAUUAACCUAAUUGGCUUUAUAUGUUAAAGCUAAUUAGGUUCCACAAAAACAAUAUUGGAGUAGCAGCUAAUAGUGUGACAGGUGACCAUACAAUGGAUAUUUUUCAAUACGUUUCACUUUCAUGACAGAAAACUUUACGGAUUAAUUAACACACAAAAUAUAAAUAAAAAUAUUUUAUCAGUUUUUUCUUAUUAUAAUUAAAAAAGAACUGGAGACUAUAAAAGGGUAUGCAUGGAAGUCUAGAGAUCACAGAAAACACACACUUCAUUUCUUAAGAAAAAAGUUGUUGAAGUUUGAAGAGAUCAUGAGGGCAAUAUAUAUUAUCAGCAUCAUUAUAGUGAGCUUGAGCAUUUUCUCUUGUGGUGGGAAUGCUCGACUUCUUCCUGCUAAUAGAGAUUAUCCAUGGGCAAUGUUUGCCCUAAGGCUUCAAUGGCCAGCUGGAUUUUACGAGGUCAACAAUGACUGUGAUACAAAGUCUCUCCUCAACACAUUUACCAUUCACGGCCUUUAUCCCUAUAACGCGAAGGGGAUCCCAGUGUUAUAUUGUGACGGAACUGCCUUUGAUGUUAACUCUGUGAGUUCUCUCAGUCUGCAUUUAAUUUACUUCUUAAAAUCCUUGCUCUAUUGUCUAUUAAAUAUGUUUUUUUGUGGUAACAUUUAUAUAUAUCUUGAAGAGUUGGAUAUGUUUGUUUGAUAAAAAAAAUGAAAUUGUACAUGCAAUAUAUAUCCAUACAUACUCACAUAUGUUAAACUAAUUUCUCUCCUCCUUUAUUUUGAAAAUUAACAGGUAUCGGACUUUCAAGCAGAAAUGCAUCUUGCAUGGCCGAGUCAUGAAACUAAUACUGAGGACAAACAAUUCUGGGAACACGAGUGGAAUAAACAUGGAAGGUGCUCAGAAGCUUUGUUGAAGCAGACUGAUUAUUUUAGAACGGCGCUUGCUUUUAGAAAAGCAUUUGAUAUAAUUGGGCUACUAAACCAGGAAGGUAAACAUACCCAUUGAUAUAUAAUUAAAUAGUCUUUAAUUUGGUUCAUUAAUUGCUUCCUAAGGGAACUACGUACUUAAUUUAGAUUUUGUGGAUGAUUAAUUGAUAAUGUGAGUUUGAUGAGAUUACUAUUCAAAAAUGUGUAGGGAUUUACCCGAAUAACGACCUUUAUCGUCCUAAAAUGAUAAAAGAAGCAAUCAAAAAGCACUUGAAUGCUGUGCCAGAAAUCGAUUUCACCAAAAACGAAAACUCAGAAUAUGUGCUUACGGAUAUUAAUCUAUGUGUGAACCAACAAGCAACAAGGUUCGUAGAUUGCCCUACCGAUGACGCUACUGAUGACUACCGCCUCAAAUUCGUAAGACUACCUUCUAAAAUGAAAAUUGCGGAUCCGAGGACCAAUUCUAUAAUAUAGCACAAAUGGUACGGCUACAAAAUGGACUACUAUCUUGUUUAAUUAAUGCUUUUGGGAGUAUAUAUUAUCUAUGUAAAAUAGUUAUGAGUGCUAGGGUUGGCUAAUUAGUACUAUGAGGCCAACCUUUAGUAUCUCUUGAAUAAUGUCCAUGUAGCAAAAGUUUAUAGCACUCUGGCCUUGGUGUGUAUGGAUAAUUAUAAUAAAUGACUACUUUUAUCUGCAAAAAAAAAUAAAAUCCAAGUAUUUUCUUUUGUUUUUAUUUUUGAUAAGAAUUUAAUUUUAUGUAGUUUGAUGGCAUAGUUUAUCUAGGAAGCUGAUAUUUUCACAUGUUAAAAUGAUAUUUUCAAACGAGUCUCUCACAAUAUGGAUGUGGGACUUGCUCACUAUUCAUGUGAGAGGGAUUAUGUGAAAAUAUCAAAUUUUUAUGUGAAAAUAUUAGCUCCCUUUAUCUAUUAUAAUGGUGAAACAUGACUUUUUGAUAUUUUUCACAUGAAAAUCGUCGCUAUAGAUCCUUUAGUAGUGGUUUUUACUGUCGCUAUACAUCUCUAUAGCUACAUUUUUUAUAUAAAAAUAUCAAAAAAAUAUGUGGAAAUAUCAAGCAUGCAUGCAUCGUACCAGAAAACAUUUAAAGGGACACUUCAAAGGGAUUUCAGACAAAAAAUAAAACCAAAAAUAAAUGAUUUCAUCACAAUUUUGUUUUCAAGUAUUGUCGCAAAUCAGUGGUCACUAAAAAAAAAAAGGAAAAUAUAUUUGUCGCAAUCUAUAAAACAUGACUGAAAACAGGGGCGAAGCCACAGUUCAGGAUGUGUGGUCAAUUGAUUUCAUUGAAAAAUAUAUAUUUUAUAAUAUAUGAUAAAUUUAAAGAAUAUUUAAGUGUAAUAAAUAAAUUGACUUCAUUGAAAUUUUAUAACCUUUUUAAUAUACGGUGUUAAAUUGAAUUUUUUAUAACUUUCUCAAUUCUAUAUUAUUUCUACUCCUUGAUGUAUGCUUAUUUCUCUAAUAUUUUUAAAAUAAAUAAUAAUUUAAUUUAUAUUAUUUUUAUAUCAUAAGAAAUUUAAAUAUUUAUUAACAAAUUUAUGAUUAAAAAACGUAUUAGGGGUCAAUAAGGAGUUUUUUUGUGUGUGUGUGUGUGUGUGUGUGUAUAUAUAUAUACAUGUUGUUUCAUUUUAUGUCUUUAGGUUUAGUUUAUCAGGAUACUAGGUAGAUUAUUUCAUUUGGGUCUCUCUUGAGCCUUAAUUUUAGGUUGCCCUCUUUUAUAAAGAGGAUGAUUCGAUUUCAACUGCUGACAUCUGUACCAGUUGGUUCAUGGACAAGUUUCUUUUGAUAAGUUAGUAUCAUGGACAAAUAUAAAUAAUAAUUAACUGUUACAAUGAAAAUUAAACUUCAAUUAAGUCUAGGCCAUUCAUACAUUGAAAAAAGCUUCUUGAAUAGGUUAGAGAGUUUGUGAAAUAUUUUUUUAGUUUGCUUAACCCUUUGAAAAGCGGUUGUGGUAAGAACAAAUAUUGAUAAGUUAUUGAAACACCGCUUUUCAAAGGGUUAAGCAAACUAAAAAAAUAUUUCACAAACUCUCUAACCUAUUCAAGAAGCUUUUUUCAAUGUAUGAAUGGCCUAGACUUAAUUGAAGUUUAAUUUUCAUUAUAACAGUUAAUCAUUAUUUAUACUUGUCCAUGAUACUAACUUAUCAAAAGAAACUUGUCCAUAAACCAACUGGUACAGAUGUCAGCAGUUGAAACCGAAUCAUCCCCUUUAUAAAAGAGGGCAACCUAAAAUUAAGGCUCAAGAGAGACCCAAAUGAAAUAAUCUACCUAGUAUCCUGGUAAACUAAACCUAAAGACAUAAAAUGCAGUAACAUAUGUACAUGAAGGACAUAUUGAAACACUGCUUUUUUUUUCUUUUUUGAUAAGUUAUUAAAACACCGCUUUUCAAAGGGUAAGCAAACUUGAUACAGGAAGAGAAGUAACCCUUUGAGCAGCAGGAACCCAUCUGGGUGGAGGCGAAUCCAACAAUCAACUCAGAAUUACAAAAUCCUAUACAAUAAGAUUACACACAAACUCUAAAUUUCAUUCAUUUAGUUAGAAAAUUAGAAAAUACCUUGGGAGACGACGAACUUGCUUUCGAAUUCGUCCGGCGAACUUGCUUUCGAAUUCGUCCGACGAGAUGCUUGGAUUUGCGAUUGAGAAUGAGCCAGAUUUCGUCUGGCGAGAUGCUUGGAUUCGCGAUUGAGAAUGAGCAAGAUGGUCUCUGUCCUUUUUUUGACCCGAAAAGGAUCCGCGGCUAUUUUUUCCCAAAAGGUCUGUGUCUUUUCCUCGCCGUUGGAUGUAUCUCACGAUUAGUAUGAAAAGUUCGUAUUUUUGGCAACAUCCGGGCGCCCGGACCAGAUCGUUUCUGUAUAUGUAUGUAUGUAUAUAUAUAUAUAUAUAUAUAUAUAUAUAUAUAUAUAUAUAUGCGUUGUGAGAUCUGUGGUAUUGUGUUGCAUGGGGUAAUAUAAACUAUGCAAUAAGUGAUUUCUGUGUUUAAUAAAUAUAUUAUUAUAUAUUUGUUAUUUAUUGAAGAGGCAAGUUAUUUGAAGUAAAGAAGAUGGAUAAAAAUUUAUCGAUAUUAAAUAAUUUAUGUGAAAUUAUUUUAUCGUAGUAAGUUGGUGACAUUAAAUAUAUUUGAUAAUCACCAAUUUCUUUAGUAUAUGUAUGAGUAAGUAUCACGUCUAAGGCAGUGCAACCGUACCCUUUAAUGGUGGUUGUGUAGGAGCUGGGCUAACUGAUUCCUUCAGAGAGCGGAGAUAUAUACAAAUUAGUAACCGAUCUAACUUACUGUGAAAACAGUGUAGACGAGAAGGAAAGUAAUUUGUUGGUUAUUUGUGGGAAACCACUCAGUGUACUAUAUUGAAUACUAUUAAAGACUCGAUGUGUGUUAGGUUUAGACUUGUAUAUAUAUACGUUAUUGACGAGAGAAGAAAAUCGAUAUAUCUUUAGAUAAAUAUUGGUUAGAGAUUUAUUGAUUAAUAUUGAGAUAUGAUUAAAUGUAUAGAUUAAAGAAAUUGUGUUGAGACAAUUUAUAGAAAGGAAAGAGAAAUAAUUAUAGUAUAUUUCUAAUAAAGGAUAUUAAAAUAAAUUCUAGCAUUUGAUUAUUUUAAUAAUAAUGGGGAAUAUUAUUUUGAAAUUACCUUAUAGGUAAUGUGUGUGAUUAAGUAAUAUGGUAAAUAUAUUAAAACAUAUUUGCUAUAUAAGUUGAUGGAAACAAUUUAUCAUAAUAGGAAAUAAACUUAUUUUCUAUAUAUAGUGUGUACGUGUGUCGUGCAUGUAAAUAUUUUAAUAAUACAUAGAUAUUAUAUUAACAAUAAUAUCUUGAGAAAAUGAGUAAAUCGUUUUAUUAUGAUUAGUUCCUAUAUUUAGAGAAAACAUGAUAAAAUCAUCGUAUGUUAUGUUAUGGCGAAAUACAUAAUUUUGAUUGUAGUAAUGUAUUUCCAAGAAGGUUAAAGUUAAAAGAAAACUAAGUUAUUCUAAUAACUUGAGUUAUUAUAUUACCGCGAAUGUUAUAAAGAAUAUUUAAAUAUCUUCAUUCACGAUAUAUUUAUAUAUGUGAAUCUUGUGAUAUAAUAGUUCGAUGUAAAUUGAACAUAUUAUAAAUAGUAAGGUUCGUGGUAAAUGAAUAAGUAAUGAGAAUGAGGAUAAGCUUAAUGUAAGCUUGUGAGAUAUGCCUAGUGUGGUAAAGUGAUGGAAUAAACAUUCAUUAAAUAAUUUAAUGAAUGAAUAAUUGAAGGAAUUAAAUUGUAUGUGCAAUGAUUAUAUAUUAUAUAGUAACUACAUCUAUAUGAUAUGAAAUGAAGUGUGACACUUCAAUGGUAACUAUAUAAUAUAUGAAGUAUUUGAAUACAUAUGUAUAAAGACUAGUAUGCUAGCAUUAUGUACAAGUGAGAUAAUAAAUGUAAUAUGGUACAAUAGACCACUUCCAUGACCAUAUUAUAAGAUGUAAUGUUAAGAAUAAUAUUAUUUUGUGAGAUUAUUUUAUUAUAAGCUUGUGGACUAUUAAUUACUAAGUUCACAUAAUUAUGUCUUGUGUGGCAUAACUAGUGAAGUUAAAUCAAAGGGAGAAUUAAUGGAAAGUAUUAAAAGAAAAUAAAUGGUGAGUUAAUAAAUAAUUGAUAUUAAUUAUCAUUAUGAUAAUUGAGGGUAUUUGAGGUAAUAAAGUUUAUGGAAAAUGAUGGAUUGAGAAUAUCCAACUAUUUUAUAUUUAGCCCAAUAAAAAUAUUAAUUGAAAUAAACCAAUGUACAUAGAUUAUAUAAAUUCUAUGUGUAAUGUAUAAGUGAGUGUAUAUGUAUGAUCAUUUUUGGACAAAUAUCAAAUAAACCUAAGUAUGCUAAUAGUAAUACAAAAUGUUGAGUUUUAAGGGUAGUGUCCCAAAUUGUGUGUCAUUUCUCCAUACACGUGAAAUGCAAAAAGGAUAGCUAGCUAGCUUGCUUCUUCUUCUCCAAAAUCCAUAGCUUCCAAAUGAUGAAAAGGGGAGUGAGUUGAUUUGAUUUUCCACCAACUUCUCAUGAACCAUUAGUUUCUUCUUCAUUCCAUUGAGCAAAGUUCCAAUGUUGGUCAAAAAGUUUUCCUAUAAAUGAAGCAAGUUUCAUUCUUGUACUUCUUGUUGAUCACUCUGUGAAGUUCAAAAAUUUGUGUGUGUGAGUGUUGUUGAGUUGGAGAGGAAACUUGAGAUUGAAAGCAAAGAGUUUACUUCACAACUUUAGAAGGUAAUAUCCCUCUAUAUGUUAUUGAAUUCAAGUUUUGCAAAGUUCUUAAAAAAGUACUAAAAUACUUGUUUUGAGUUGAAAAGUUUAUGGUUGAAGCAUGAUAAAGUGUGUCAAUUGAUGCUAGACACUGAUAAUAUAGUCAUAUGCGAAAACAGCGAGAGUUAAACGGACCAAUUUGGUUUAGAAACGAAUUCGUAGUGAAUGAAUUCACUAAACUUUUCAAAACAUGAAAAUUAGUAUGAACAUGAGUUUUGGAUUAAGAAUUAGGUUAGUUAGGGUUUCUGUAAAUUGUUAUAAUUCUAGUAUGUUGUAGUUCUAUGAAUUACGAAUCCAUAGAAUCAAAAACGGACUAAUUUGGACAUGUAUAACUCAAAUUAUGAAGGUUAGAAAGAGGUUUGGCAUGAUAUCUCGUAGCAGGGGAAAUGAAAAUUUUCAAUUUCAACAGCUAUGCCCGCCCCGGCGGGGGUCUUGCUGUGAAAAAGGCCCGCCCCGGCGGAAGAGGUGGGGGGGGNNNNNNNNNNNNNNNNNNNNNNNNNNNNNNNNNNNNNNNNNNNNNNNNNNNNNNNNNNNNNNNNNNNNNNNNNNNNNNNNNNNNNNNNNNNNNNNNNNNNNNNNNNNNNNNNNNNNNNNNNNNNNNNNNNNNNNNNNNNNNNNNNNNNNNNNNNNNNNNNNNNNNNNNNNNNNNNNNNNNNNNNNNNNNNNNNNNNNNNNNNNNNNNNNNNNNNNNNNNNNNNNNNNNNNNNNNNNNNNNNNNNNNNNNNNNNNNNNNNNNNNNNNNNNNNNNNNNNNNNNNNNNNNNNNNNNNNNNNNNNNNNNNNNNNNNNNNNNNNNNNNNNNNNNNNNNNNNNNNNNNNNNNNNNNNNNNNNNNNNNNNNNNNNNNNNNNNNNNNNNNNNNNNNNNNNNNNNNNNNNNNNNNNNNNNNNNNNNNNNNNNNNNNNNNNNNNNNNNNNNNNNGUGUCCUGCAAUGACUUAUUUUAUCUGUUUUGGUAAAACGGAUAUAACGUUUUCAUACAAACUCCGAUUGAGGAGAUUCAAGAUGAUCCGGAACGAGAAUGAAUAGACCCUCAACUUUUGUUCUUUACAUUUUUCAUUUUGAGGUUGUUAGAAUGGGUCAAAACAGUCAUCUUUGUGACUGUUACGUAUAUGUUAUUCUAAGUUAUUAAACAUAAAUAUGUAUGAUAAUAGACAUGUCAUAUAGCUAAGAUUUCUUUACUCAUAAUGAAAUGCGUUAACAUGAUUUUCUAAAAAACACUUAAAAGUUUUUGAGAAACGAAAGUUGAUGAAAUUGGUGUCCAUUGAGUUCUGAGCUUGGACCCUAUGUACGCAUAUCAAUGGACAUGAAAUUUAGUUUUAAAGUUACCUUGCAUAUACUAGAUUGAUAUAGCUUGGUUUAAAGUGUUUUGAAAGAAAAACUUGAAGUUUUGAAAAUGAAACUUGACGAACUUUGUGUCUUUUAAGCUUCGACUUUGGGAACAUGUGAUUGUGGCCUAGUUAUGCGUGUGGAUGGACAAGGAAUGUAAUUUCAAGAUAUAUUGCACAUAAAAGGUUGUCAAGCUCGGUUUAGUAUGUGUUUUAAAUUUUUUUUAAAAGUUUUAGAAACUAACUUUGAUGAGCAUUGUAUUACUUGCAUUAUGACCUUAUAAGCAAGCAUGAUAGAGUUGUCUAUGACUUUGAACAUGAAUGAUAUGUGCACUCAACUAGUCAAGCAUGACCUAAGUUAUUUAAGCAUGUUUUAAAAGUAUGAACUAUGCUAUGUCUAUGUAAAUGAGAUAGAUACAUGUGAUCAUGCUAUUAGAGGCUUAUUAGUACCAAUAUAUAGUUUAAAAGCUUAUAACAUUGAAUCUUGUUAAAGAAAGUUGUUAAGCCUUAUUGAUUAAAAUAAAUCAUUAUGGAGCUAAGUAGUUUGAAUAUGAACUUGAAAAUAGAUCACAACCUAUUUAAUGUCAAGUACGGAUGGUUAAGAUAUACUUAUACAUGCCUAGCUAUUCAAAGAUUAGGAAGAGAAAGUGAAAUGAAGGUUUUACAAACCUAGUUAGGAAACGAUAUAAUAUUUAUUAUUAUAUUAAGAGCAUAUGAAAUGUAUGACUGAUGGAUAUGAAUCCAUGAUUAUAUAACUAUGUAGGAAUACACGCAGUGCAGAUAAGCUUUAAGCAGUUAAGUCAUAGUUGAUAAACUAUGAAUCAGGGUCUUUCAGUUCUUAUUUGAUAUAUGAAUUUGAUAAUUGUUAGUUGAGCUAUAUUAUGCUAUGAGAAUGUUGAUGUAUAUAUAUGAAAUGCAUAUGAGAUAUGUAUGAAAUUGAAAGUUGAUCUUUGAUGAUAUGCUUGUGAAGUAAAUGUCUAUGCCUGUUAUGUGAGAAGUAACAUGUGUAGUAAAUAUUAAUUGAUUAUGAAUGCAUGAACUGAGUAUGUUAUUAUAUGCUAUGUGCUGCAUGAAAACUGUUAGAAUUGCUGGGUUGUCGAGCUCACCCUUGCAAAUAACCACUUUUACAGGUUAAGGACUCACGAUAAAGAUUACGUGCUACUUGAUACAUAAAGUUCAAUAGCAUCAAAGGAGAUUUAUUUAUUUAUUUAAAUAUAUGACCUUGAACCAUGUUUAGGUUCUAGGAGAUGUACAUAAUAGUAGUUUACGAUAAGUAAUACAUGUUAAGUUGUACUAUGUGAUACAUAGAGGAAUUCGAAUCGAGAUGUAAAGAUUUUUACAGUAAUUCGAAUAGAAUGAAUCAUAACAUAAUUUGAUUCAAGGAGAUCUAAUUGAUUCAAGUUAAGACAUCAAUAAAAGAUUUUUUUUAAGAGAUUGAAAAAGUUUAAAUUAUUCUGCAUAUUUUUAUAACAUCGAAUAUGAUAUAAGACAAGAAUGGUAAAUGACCAAGAUUAGAAACUUAUAAAAGUUUGGGGUCAUUACACAGAUCCUGGCAAUAGAAAGAAUUUAUUUUCUAAAUUGUAAUAAGCUAAGUUAUAUUCAUUAAGUUAUGAAUAAAAGAUAUAAAUAGUUUGACGAUAGUAGUAUCAUGGCGGACUGGAUCCGAGGUUCGAAGGGACCCGGAUUUGGGGGCGUCACAAUCACUAUUCAAAUACAUACAUAUAUCACCUGCUUAAUAUUGUAUACAUUCUUCAUUUAUUCCACACGUGUCUCAUAAAAAAUAAUAGAAACAUCCAUUCAUUCUUCUAUAGGCCUUAACCUCACAUAUUCAACAUUUGCCUAUAAUAUAAAUUAGGAUUACUUGAGAUUUCACGUAUAUGAAAUUACAUAUUUUCACAUCUCGACUCUUUACACAAUUUAAUACUUCAUAAUAUCAUAACGUAUCUUAUAUUAUUACAAAAAAUUAAUACAACAUCCUAAUCUAUUACAUCAACAUUAUUCAUUCUUUCUAACAACCGUUUCUUUCUCUUUUAUCUAUAUCUUUUGGACCCUUUUGAUCCUUCUGCCUUUUCUAAAAAUUUGAAAUAAAAUGCAAGAGCGAACAACAGAUUUGCUUAACAAGUUUAAAAAUAGUUUAGAAUAAUAAGCACAAGUAUAAAUCCCAGUCACUGAAUUAACAUUACAGAUAAUAAUCUUAAAAAUUCUGAAACACUCAGCAUCAACAACGUAGCAUAACAAAAUGUCACUACAGGAAAAAGACUUAUCUAUAACCACCUAUUAGUGACUGUACUUGGUCGCAGAUGCAUAUCAGCGAUUGAAUGCGGUCGCUGAUAAUAGUCACAUAUAAUCUGGCCGUUGUGUGGAUCCCAACGACCACUAUUAGUGACCGAUAUAUCAGCGACCGCCCUAUAGCGACCGAUGUCGUCGCUAACCUGAGUCACUGUGAGUCAGGUCUCAGGGGUGACGUGGCCCAAUUUUUGCGACCAACAUUAUCGAUCGACGUGGUCACUAAAAACCUCAAGUCAUUUUUUAGCGGUCGCUGAUACGUAUUAGUGACCGCCUGCGGUUGUUGAUACUUAAAUUUUUUUUUUUAAAAAAAGAUUGUUUUGGGGAUUUAAUUCCCUACACAUAUUAGUGUCUAUUUGUACCUGCUUUAUAUCUUAAAACACAGCUGUAUCAAUAAAUAAACCAACAUCCAUACAAAUACAUCGAUCCAUAUAUAUACACAUCCACACAUGUAUAAACAUAUAUAAACAAAUACCAUCCGACUAAAUUUUUUAUACAAAUAAAAUGUCAUAACAUACAAUAUAAACUCCGUACAUUCAUUCGGUAAAAAAAGAAUAAUACAAAUGUUCACAUAAAAGAGAAGAGAACAAUACAAAUGUCUGCAUGCAUCAAAUAUCGUCCAAAUGAAGUUGUAACAAAAUAUGUUAAAUAUAAAGUAUACAUGUUGAUACUGGCGUGACUUAUGCAAAGCAAAAAAUGACCAUUUAUGAUGUAUUACAAUAACAAAAAGCUAAACAUAAAUAAAAAACUAAACAUGUAUUAUUGAAUGUAAAACUAAACUAAGCAUCAAAGCUAAACAUAAAGGUAAACAAUGACAAGAUUACCUCGACAUCAUUAGCAUGUUGUUAUGAUGUUUUCACCACUACAUAAGCUAACUCUUUAGGACUCAGAGAUUGUAAAUAUCCGCCAAUUAUAAAGUCGGUCGUCGUUAAUAAAGCUUGUCCCCAAUACUCCUUGAGAAGUGUAAUCUAGUUAUGGCUCACCUCUCCAUGAAAUCAAGAAACAUCCUCGGUUUGAAAGCCCUAUGCAUUUCAGUUGUUACUCCUGUUUUUGCAAAAUCAACUGCCAUAGAGUGAAGGGUUGCCAACUGAAGAUAUUUUUUACUCAUAACUUUAUUUGACUCAAGGUCUGUAUGUACCAAAUGUGCAAUAGAGAUUGUACCUAAGGUAUCAUUAAUCAGAUAAUUAAUUAACAGAGAACUUUUGAAUUUCCUGCAAAAUUAGACUUAUUGGAAAAUCUCAGACUAUUAUGAACAUAAAUAAAAUAAAAUUUAGCUUUAAACUACCUCUAAUGUCAUAUCAUGAUCCAUCAAGCGUGGUCUUCGUCUAGUAUAGUUCAUGGGGGGGGGGGUACAGUUCAACGUGGGAUGAGAUUAUCAUCCCAACUUAUGAAAUUGAGCUCAACCAUAUAGACCUAGCUCUUCCAUUCCCAAAUCAACUGCUACAGUUCAUUGUAAUUGAACUAAUUAAGGAAGUAACAGUUCAAUAGAUAGAGAGGAAAAGCGGGCCAGGACUGGAAACUGGAAGGGAGUUAAUGAGAAUACAAAGUGUCACCAUUCUUAGAUGUUUCUUUUGCAUUUUUUGUGUAUAGACAAAUAUAUAAAAAUAAAUGUGGCUAUUUUUCAAUACACUCAUUAUUUCUUGAUGUAAAUCAUAUAUUCUCGAUGCAGAAGAUCAACUAGACACUUUCUAUGACGCCCCUAAAAUUAGUCCACACAACCCAUUUUGGGUCGCCAAAUACACACUACAGAAUCUAAAUACAAAUCUUUCAAUUUAUAACUAUUAAAAUGUUGUGUAAAAUACAACAACACAUAAACUGGGAGUUUCAAUAAAAAUAACAGUACUCACACUCCAAACUAAUGAUACUUUACAUAAGGGUAAAAUGCAAAGCAAAUCUGACGUCAGCAUUUUUUAUUUUAUUUUACAUAGUGGACAGGCUGACAUGGCAAAUAUUGAAUUUACCUAGCAAAAAUUAUGUUUGCUGCCAAGAUUUGAACUUGAGACCUCUAGCUUAAAACUUGAACCCAAUAACCAACUAAGCAAACAAGACUAGUUGUUAUAAUUUUGCAAGGAUUAAUAUUUAUAACUGAACAAAUUAUUUUCCCCAAUAAUAACAACAACAACAACAACAACAACAACAACAACAAUAAUAAUAAUAAUAAUAACAAUAAUAAUAAUAAUAAUAAUAAUAACAAUAAUAAUAAUAAUAAUAAUAAUAACAAUAAUAAUAAUAAUAAUAAUAACAAUAAUAAUAAUAAUAAUAACAACAAUGAUAAUAAUGAUGAUGAUAAUAAUAAUAAUAAUGAUAAUGAUAAUAACAAUAAUAAUAAUAAUAAUAAUAACAACAACAACAACAACAACAACAACAACAACAACAACAAUAAUAAUAAUAAUAAUAAUAAUAAUAAUAAUAAUAAUAAAAGACGUUAUUAAAGACAUCAAAGACUCCUACAAAGACAUCGGAUUAUUAUUCAAAUUAUAAUCCAUCAAAGACAUCAGGAAUAGUGGGGAUGUUUAUUCAAAUUUUAUUUUUAUUUUAUUAUUAUUAUUAUUAUUAUUAUUAUUUUGAAAAACUCCUACAAGAUCUGUUAGUUAUAAUCAGUCCAGAACAGAUCCAAAAUUCAGCCAAAAAUCCCACAACAUUUAUAUGAUUCAAAAUCCCACAACAUUUAUAUAAUCCAAGGACAGAGUAACAGUUUUAUAGAUCUAGAUCUAUAUCAACUAAACCCAUAACAGACUAAAUUAACACUCAAAAUAAGAUCUAGGCCUCCGUCGACUACUCCGUUACCAAAAGAAUCGCCGGCGAAACGACGUCCCACAAGAUCCGCCUCUUUCAUCUUUCAUCUUCCUCUCCAAUCCCAAUUAAAUUGAAAAUACAAAACAUUAAUUAAAUUAAAAGGAAAAAAAUAGCCUUCAUCAGAAUCCACCUCUUUCAUCUUCCUGGAUGGUGUUUUCAGUUCAGUCUUGUCCAUCACCUGUGGAAAGAAAAAAUAAUAAAGAGAAGAGAAAGGCACUAGUGGUCCGGUUAAGAACACGUGAUUAAUGACUGCUACAACAUCUCUGACGAACUUCACAAGAUUUUCUCCUAUAUGUUCACCUGUAAAUGAGAAACUCUACUUAUGUUUCGAUUGUCAUAAUAUUUUGAAAUUGUACAAGUAAUUGAUGAAUUCUCGGUCGAAUUCGACUUGGGGUUUUGUUCAACCAUUUUCAAACUUACUAAAUCUCCCCUUUUAUUUUAUUAUAAUUGUUUGUAAGCUUUUAUAAUUGUUUGUAAACUUUUAUAAUUUGUUUUAUAAUUUCUGGAAAUGUCUAAUAUUUUGAAUAUGGGAUAUUUUUAAGUUUUAAUUUUAAGCUUAUUUUUAAAUAUAUUCUUUUUAAAUUUGUAAAUUAGUUUUAAUUUAAAAUUUUUAAUUUUAAUCUAUAAAUUUGCUAAUGUUAAUUGUUUAAUUUUUUAAUUAAUGUUGAUUGUUUAAUUUGUUAUCCUUUUAAUAUUAUGUCGAGGGAAAUGAACUGAUUUAGUAUAAAUCUUAAUUCUUUUGUUAAAAUAAUUGAAAGUUUUAUGUAGCUCAGGUGGUUUAAUGGUCAAAGUUUCAAAAUUGAGAUUUUGGGUUCGAUUCUUGGGGAACUAAGUUUUUUAACAAUUAAUUGAAAAAUGCAUAGAUAAGUAGCUCCACAUGACAAAAAUAUCCACGUCAUCGGUGCCACGUGUGCCACGUAGGCAGGUCAACGCACCUGGGGGCUCAAUAUCCAAAUUUUCAAACAGAAAAAGGGCUCAAUUUGCGUUGACAAAAAAAAAAGGGCUCAAUACCCAAAAACACCUAAAGUUCAGUGAUCACAUUUGCAUUUACAUAAAGGUACAAUCAAUAUAACGAUCGAGAAAUUUGAAAUUUAAUUUUAAUAUUUAUGGAAUUAAAUAAAUAUUUAAAAUUAUUGAGGAAAAUAAAUAUUUGAUGAAUUGUCAUAAAUUAAUUUAGUAGCUAAAUUAAUUAAUGUUAAUUGAAUCGAGUAAUGAUAAUUUUAUUUGUUGGAUUUAAUUUAAGGAGAUAAUUAAAUUAAAUCAAUUGCUUAAUAUUUAAGAAAUUAGUUAAAUUAAAUGAAUUGUUUAAUUUAAAGGAAAUAAAUAAAUUAAAUAUAGUGAUGUGUCUAAUUUAUUAAUUAAAUUAGAUAUAUAAUUAUUUAUUAAUGAUAAUAAGAUUUUUAUUAUUAGUAUUAUAAGUUAUUUAAAUUAACUAAACUAAGUUAUUUAAAUUAAUUAACUAAAAGUGUGAUAUAAAACUAUGUAAUAUAAAUGUUAUUAAAAUAAUUUAGUUUGGGGAAAGUUGGUUAGCCAAACCAGGCCUUAUGGCCUUUGGCAUUAUUCCAACUGACGAGUCUUUUUAUUUUUCUAACGUAAGGGAACGUGGGAGCAGCUAGCUUAUAUUUUUCCUACGCAUAUUAUUUUCUAAGGCUAGCAUUCAGUUUCUUUUAUUAUUCACGUAUUUGACUAAGGAGGAAGAGCAGAGUUGAGAGAAAAGAGAGAGCGUAAGAAUUGAGAGAGAAGAAGAAUUACAAGGAACUUGAGAGAUUGAGAGGAAACCUAAGCAAUUUCAGUGUUAACAAGGGUUAAACAUAUUGAAGGUAUUCUAUCUAACCCUUGUAUUAUAUAUAUAUAUAUAUAUAUAUAUAUAUAUAUAUAUAUAUGAACUUACGGCAAAUUUGUUAUGUUUUGUUAAUUGUAAUUCUUUCAAAAUUGUUGUGUAACUAAAGUAUGGUGGAUGUGUGGUAUAAUGCUAGAGUUUAUGUUUAAAACGAGAAGUUUGUAUGCUAAAUUCGUUGACAGUAGGAAGAAAAUUUUGACAGUAUAUGUGUUUCAUAUGGUUCAUGGAAAAGUAUUAAUUUUGAUGGCCAAUUCUUAUGUUAAACUAUAAAUUUAAGCUUGUAUAUGUUAGUUCGUUGAGAUACGAGCAUAACGUAAUUUGAAGGAGGUGAUUUGGUCAAAUAAUGAAUUCACAGUGAUGAUUUUUGGGAUAGACUAUCAAAAAUGGAGUUUUAUAUAAAAAACAUGAAAAUUGAGAAAUUAAAAUAGUUUUAGUUGUUGUUAAUUUGUGCUAAGUGGUUGAAUAUGUUAGCAAUCAUGUUUAUGAUAGUUGUAUAUUUAUUUUUCAUGUUGUUAUCACCGUUUGAUGGAUGAAAUUGGUGUUUGUUGGGCUAAAGUCGGCUACUGUUCAUUAGCCUUCUCUGCGUCUGUCUGAACACCGACGCAACUGCGCCGGUGCCAAGGCAAAAAACGACGCAGCUGCGCCGGUCCCAGGCUUAAGUAUGGCGCAGCUGUGCCAUACCCUGGUCUGAGACAGUGAAGUCUGCUUAUUUGCAGAUCAUGUGUAAUGGACUUAUAUUAGUUUAGCAUGCAUGUUAAUGAUGUUGAGGCAUAAUAUAAACUACAAUAACAGAUUGUCAUGCGUUGUUAUAUAAAGUGUAAAAGAAUUUAAGUGAUUACUUGAAUAAGUUUUGUAAUGAACCAAAUGUGACGUUUUCAAAAGUUAAAUAUAAAUGAUAAGGUUUAUAGUGUGAUUGCAGAAUUGUUAAGGUGUUAACCAACGUGGUUAGGUGCUAGGUUAGGGUUAUGACCUAAAUGUUGGUUUAAACCCUAAAAGCUAAUAUUCAUACAAUUAAUUGUUGUUGUGAUUUCAAUGAUAUGUGUAGGGUAAUUGGAGAUUAUCUUACAUUUGUGUAGCUUACAAAAAAGGCAAGUUUUCUAACUCUACCUUGUUAUUAUUGAGCAAGUUCUUAAAUCUUAACUCUUUACAUUGAGCAAAACUUUCUAACUUCAUUAUUUUCAUAUUAAAUGCAAGUUUCCAUUCCUAAAUUAUUAUUGUGCAAGUUCCUAACAUUCUUUAUGAAGUUGAGCAAGCUUAACCUAUCUUGCGUAUGUUUGUACAAGCUUAUAUAACCUAAUUCGUUACGUUGAGCGAGAUUUAGUUUCCUAAUUAUUAUUUAAAGCAUAUAUUGUUCUAAAACAUUGAUUCAAGGGAGAUUGUUUUAACUCUUCUAUAGCGCUUUGCAUGUAUAUCAUGUUUACUCAAUUAUAUAUUAUUGUUAUUCAAUAUUUGACUUUGAUAACCUUGUUCAAAGCUUUAUCGUUGUAUUAAACCUUCAAUUAGUAAGAAAACAUUUAUUAAUUGAAUUAAUCUAUAUUCGAAUAGUGUUCUAAAAUUCUAGAAACACUGAUAAGCUAGUUCCAAACUAAACUUUCUUUAGUGCGGAAAUUCUAAAUCCAAACUGAGACGAACAACCCUAACAUAGGGGAUUUUGUACGUGUAACAUUUAGAUGUUUGUACACAAUACAUGGUACAAAGGGCUGAUCCCCCUAAGUACGUUAAGAAGGGUCCGUAUAGUCUAAAUGACUGUUAAGGUUGGGUAAUAAUACCUAAGUACCGGGGACAUAGUCCAUGGUCUUAAGACCCUCAGAUAAUUAAAGUUCGAACUUUUUUUCUAGUUUGAUUUGUAGAACAAAUUCCUUAUUGUUCAGCUUUUGUUGUUCACUCUCAUGUUACUACCAUUGCUACUUUCUAUAUUAGUGAGCAUUUGUUUGCUCACUCUUGCAAUUAACACUGUAGCUAAAGUGGAGAAAGUUGAUGAGUCAUCGACUAGCAAAGGCAAGGGCAAGAUGUCCAAAUGAUGAAGACUUAUGAGAAUUUUAUUUUAAUGAAUUAUGUUAAAGACUUGUUUUAAUAUGUGAUGUAUUCCGCAAACUUAUGUAAUAAUUUUAAGGUUAGAUUAUCUGGGAUUUAUUUUGAGAUGAUGAUGUAACCCUUUAAUGGGGAAAAUUAUUGUUUAAGUUAUUUAAAAUUAUGUCUUUAUCCUUUAUUAUGGGUAGUUAGAUGUAAUAGUUUGUGAUAAGUGAGCACCAAAUCCUGUGGGAAUGGAGUACCUGGAUUUGGGGGUGUCACAAUCAAUAACUAUUUUAGGAAUUAAAAUUUUUAAAAAAUGCUCAAGGAAGCCUUCAUACAUGGGAGGCCAUGCAUUUAUGUUAUGAUAGAUAUCAUUUGACUUGAGAAUUAACCUUGGUUGACUCAAUAGACCCCAAAGAAGAACGAGAAUAUUACUAUCCUGUUCAUUCCAAUGGUGUGUAUCUUUUUGCCAUAUAAUUAUCUCCAUUGACUCAAACUGAGGAUUAUAUUCUAACCAUACUCCAAGAUUAUAUAGAUAAUGUUCAUAGAUAUAGUCAGCAAGUGGAUGCACACAACUAUAUCUUAUGAUAACACGGAUUUGUAUGUGGUUAAACAUCAUAUAUGAUAGUAUAUGAUAUAUGAUAUGUCCUCCCAGUAUAAUUAUGUCCUCCUCAUUAUAAUGGUGUGCAUUUUUGAUGCUUCAAAAGUCGGAUUCUCAUCACCUUAUUGUUGUUCACCAAAAUUAACUAUUAAAUGACGUAUAAAAUACGACACACACAUUUUAAGUCCUCAAUACAAUUAUAUAUUAUCAUGCUAUUUUAUAAUGUAUUGAGAAACUUCAACAGACACAGACUAUAACUCUAUUCCCCUGUUAUCCCUGCUCAAUCCAGCUACACUUUUAUUACCUGAAAGAAAUUGUGAAGCAAAAGGGUGAGCACAAAUAGACCAGUAAAGAAUAUUAUGACUAAAGAUAAUUAAAUUAUCAAUAGUCGUCAUCAGUAAUAAUAUAUAAAAUAUUUAGAACAUAUGGUAGAUGAUAAAAGUUUUCAAGCAUAAUUACAGCGGAAUCAACAAUCUAUUAGAAGAGUCAAGUAGAACAUAAUGUCUACUAUCUCCUCCAAAUUAAAAGUCCAUCAUUAAUAUUUCAUUCCUGUAAUACCCAUCAAUGGUUCUUUGUUGUACCCAAAACAAAGAGAACUUUUAUCACCUUUCUUCACCUGAACCACCAAAGAUUAUAGUUAAAAUCAUAAUUCAUGUUUAUAAUAAUGUAAAUCAAUAGUUUCUCCUUGCCACAAAGGGUUAAUAGAACUUUCACUCAAUGUUCUUGUCAUAAAGGCUAAAGACACUCAAUAAUCAUAUCGUCUUUACACCUUGCACUAAAGACAUUCAAUUGUAACAAUAAUUGUCAUGAUCAUACCAAUCAAUUAUCUAUCUUUGCACUACGUGCCAAAGAUAUUCAACUGUAAUAUCAGUGGUCAUGAUCAUACCAAUCAAUUGUCUAUCUUUGCACUACGGGCCAAAGAUGUUCAGCUGUAAAACUAAUAAUCAACAGUCCAUCUUUUCACUAUGAACCAAAGAUAUAUAACUGUAAAAUCAAUAAUCAACAGUCCAUCAUUGCACUACGGGCCAAAGAUAUACAACUGUAAAAUCAAUAAUCAAUAGUUUAUCUUUGCACUACGGGCCAAAGACAUAACCUUGUAAAUCCAAUAAUCAGCUGUUCAUCUUUGCACUACAGGCUAAAGACAUACAACUGCAACACCAAUGAUCAUGAUUAUACCAAUACACAAUUCCGUUCAUGGUUAUACCAAUACACAAUUCAUGUUCAUAAUCAUACCAAUCAAUAGUUCAUCUUUGUACUAUGGGCCAACGAUAACUUUCCAACAUAAAUUUAAGUCUGAGGAUGAUAACAAUGAUAUAAAGAAUGAAUCAAGUGAGAUCAAGAAUAAAUAUUAAAAAUUUAUAAUUCAAUUUAUCCAAAGUUCAGGAAUGUCCAAAUUGUUAACAUGAUAACUAAUUGUAGAGUAAAAUUCAAGAAUGAUAUUCAUGUAUCAAAAAUAAUUUGGACAGAAAAAAAUAAAUUUUGUCGUGAAUAGUACCCCGAAUAUUCAAUACACUCAUUAUUUUUUGAUGUACAUCAUAUAUUCUUGAUGUAGAAGAUCAACCACACUUUCACUCAAUAGAAAUAUUAAUCACCUGAGUCUCUCUGAAAUUUUCAACUACUCCAUGAGAGUACAUUGCAAGCAAAGGUUUUUAGCGAUUAAUUCCUAGUGAAUUAAGAGUUCAUUGCUUAAAAGGGUUGUUUCCUUGAGAGAUGAACACUGAAAACCUUUGCAAGCAAUGAACGCUCGGGGUUGGGAGUGUGGUCAACUUACAGAGUUAGAUCUAUGAGUCCCUAACAUCUCUAAUUGAAAUUUCUAAAUUAUCCGGUCCUUGUAUAUUUUUCGGUGGACAGUUUCUACCAAAACAAGACAAAGCUGAAAAAACCGAAAAACCCUACUGCCCUAAAAUUUUUGUGGGUUGUUUGGGCCACUUAAACAUUGAAAUAAAUUUAGGCCUUUUGGGAAAUGAAAAUAUAUGAUAUAAUGAAACUCUGGUCAGAAGAUGAACAAAUUCCUACAUCAGACGAAGGAGUUAUGACCAAUUCAAUAUUAGGAUUUUUCAGAUAAAAACUGUCAUAACUUGAGUUCUACAACUCUGAUGACCACAAAAUUAAAAAUGGAAAUUCAUGUUAAUAUGUAUAAAAUUCUUCCAAGACUUGGGAAUUUUUGGAGUUGAGCAUGAUAUAGUUCAUUUUACUAAGUUACGUACUAAAAUGGCUCUUUGAAAAAUAAGAAAAUUGAAAAAUUGUAAUACAAUUAUUUUUUUGUGGAAAAUAUAUAGGUAUGUGUGUCCAGGCAGAGAAAAAAAAUAAUAUAAUGGUUAAGGAGGCCUAAUGAAGAAAAUAAAGUUACGAGAAGGUAAAAUAAUUACUUACCGACAAGUCUGGAAUUAUUAAAAUAAUUUAUAUCGGCUAGAAUAUGUUGACAUUUGACGUAUGAGUUUAUGUAAAGGUUAAUCACAUAUUUUUAUGAGAAUCUUAUAAUUAUCACGUUUAUGUUUGUUUAAGUCGAAAGAUUAAUUAUCAGAAUAGGUUACGAUAAUUACCGGCGAUAUAUAAUUAUUAUAAAGUGAUGAUUAGUUUAAUCAUAUAAAUUGUCAUGAAUAAUGUAGCUUAUCAUUUGAAGGAAGUUAUCAUUGCGUUUCCACGGGGUAGAACCUCCUCAGGGGGGGGGGGAGACCCGGGGAAAUCCCCUGAGGGGCAUCCGGAGCGCCGGAGGAAAGAAGCGCAAGGGCGUGAAGCUUUCCGUGGACAGGACAGGGUCCGUCAACUAGCUUAGCUACCGAUUGGGGGAUGCUUUCACCUUGAAGGUAUUAACGGGCUUGAGCCAGGCCACGCAAGCAAAGGAAAGAUUAAUUAUAGNNNNNNNNNNNNNNNNNNNNNNNNNNNNNNNNNNNNNNNNNNNNNNNNNNNNNNNNNNNNNNNNNNNNNNNNNNNNNNNNNNNNNNNNNNNNNNNNNNNNUCUGCUCUUUCCGGUAAGUGAGUAGGGCCAGUCCCACACGAUUAGCAUAGAUAAGACAAGUCAGGUAGGAUUGGUCGGAGAAGGAUUGGACAUUUCCAUUGAUCAGCUCAUCCAAUCCAGUCUAUGAUCAGGCAAGGGGGCCUAAAAGUAGACGUAACUAUAGGCUUAAGCUCGCUUAAAUGCAAUUUAUCCUUAGGCCGAAUACCUAGUUGAGAGGGGUCCCUAAUGUGAGACCCUUCGUCCAUUCAUUCAGGAUCAAAAGCGGGCCUAAUUGAAUCAUCUCAUCGAGGAUUGCAUGUGAAAAGAUCGGAUCUUCGAAAUCCCCAAUCGUUCGUUACUGAACCUAAAAACUCGCCGCUUCUCAUGUAAAGUAGUGUUCUCGCUAGCUGGAACGGAACUCUCAAAUGGAGGAACAAGCGUAGGCCUUCUUUGAGUAUAGCUUCAAGUAGCUCUAAGAAGUUUACGUCUCGGUUCGGCACUCGGCUUUCUGAAGUUCUUCCAUUCCAGGGCGUGAAGCUUUCCGUGGACAGGACAGGGUCCGUCAACUAGCUUAGCUACCGAUUGGGGGAUGCUUUCACCUUGAAGGUAUUAACGGGCUUGAGCCAGGCCACGCAAGAAAAGGAAAGAUUAAUUCUAGGCCAGUGAAAUGAAUUAGAUGGAAAAACACCGAUACAGAUAAGUUUUUCAGAACUUUUUUUUAUGUGUAAACUUAUUAAUUGUUAUGGGGAAGUACUUUAUGUAUUAUAUGUAAUUCUUAUGAAUUGUUUAAGAGGUGCACUAUGUGUUUUAGUGUGAUACGAAUUUAUUGAAAUUAAUUGAUGAUUGAAGUUAGUUUAGUUAUGAAAACUUACUAUAUUGUGAUAUGAGGAAUAUGAUAUGUGAUGCCCCCAAAUUCGGGUACUUGAAACCCUUAUUUAGUGCUUCAUGAUAUCAAGUAUUCAACAUAAUAUAAUAUCAAACAUAAUAAAUUUAUUACAUCAGAGUACUUCUAAUCCCAGGUACGUAGACCUAUAAGUGCUUAUUACAUGAUAGUUAAAUAUUUACAACAUAUAUAAACUAUCUACUACAUAAUAUUCCAGUUAUGACAUAACUUUUCCCUUUCCCCUGUCCUUACUAGACCCCUCUGCCUGAGCCUUAUUAGCUGAAAACAUUUAUAAAAAAAAGUAAGAAUGAGCAUUCAAUUGCUCAAUAAGUAAUAACAUUCUUUAAUAGCUCAACAAUAAAUAAAUGUUUUCUUUGAAGCAUGCUUUGACAGUGAAACAAAUAUGUAAACCAAAUAAAUCUUAAAUUAUCCAUACUCUUGGAAUCAUCAUAUCAAUUUUGAAUAGCUGAGAGGUCAUAAGACCAUGAACAUGAAUUUUUUUUCUUGAAAAGGUUCUAUCAGAAAUUUAUAUAUGAACCGUCUUAUCUUAUGGGCAUGGUGGGUGAUCAGCCCUUUAUGCCCUGUAUUGAUCAAUAUUCUUAUCCAAAAUAAUUUUUAUGUUCAACGUCACCACUCCUAGAGUGAAAUAAAAAUAUCCCACAAUAUAGUUGGAUAGCUUAAAUCAUGGCACAAUAAUAUUUUAAGAAUUAUUAUAAAGAAAUUGAAAUAUUUUACAUCUGUGUUUGGCCAGAACAAAUGGCUCAGACUUCCUUGUAAUCUGUUCAUGCAUAUUGAAUUUCAUUUGAUAUACAUGAAAAUACAUAACCCAAUCUUUUGAAGCUGAUUGGAAUAAAAAGGUUAUUUAACCUUGUAUUAUUCAUAAAGAAUGAGAGACAGUUCAAAAUUUAGAGAACAUAUCCAUAUAUGAAUAAUCCCAGAAUACUUGUGUUAGUUCCCAGUAGGCGCGAUAAAUAUCUAGAAGGGGGGGUUGAAUAGAUAAUUAAAUCUUUUUCUUUUAAUCUUUUUAAGUUGAUGGUAUUCAAUGCACAGCGGAAUGAGUAUAUGUGAAAAACCUUCUGUUAUAUAUCUUAAGUUAAUGAGAUUGAGGCAGUUAUGACAGUUAUAGCAGAUAUUGCAGUUAUAGCAGUUAGUGAACACAAUAGUUGUAAGUGGUUCAGAGCACUAAAAGCUCAUAGUCCACUCUUUUACUCCUUGAGUAGGAAAUCCACUAAGGAUGUCUGUUACACUUCUUGAAUCUCACAGAUUCUUUCUAGACCAGCAGUCUAGGUACUUCUUAGUUCACUCUUGAACUCUUCAAGUCCAGCAGACUUGGUCUCUCAUAGUUCACUUAGAACUCUUCAAGUCCUUCAGACCUGGAACUCUUACUUCAGUUGAUUGAAUGUUGUUUAGAUCGUGAUUGAUGCUAUUCAGUUUCUAGUAAGCACUUGUUUGAAAGAACUGAAUAGCUGAGCAAGCUUCCUUUUUCUCAGAUCGUAGAGUUGAGCGUUGAGUGUUCUUAUGCAUUUUUUUUGUUUAAUACUUGCUUCUUCUUUCUUAUCUGUCUUUGAUCUGUAUAUAUGUGAUCUUGAAAUCUAUCCGUUGAAGUCAUCUGAUGAGCCAUUAAAUGCAUUUGACAUUUCUGAGCUUUGAUGGAGACUUUUUUGCACAUCUUCUGAAUUACACUCUAGCCCACUGACACAGUAGACUGCUUUUUCCCCUAACACCUUAAAAGGUGUUUUCCUCUGCCCAAUGGUCCUUUUCUUAGCUUAUUGAGUACGUUUCUUUUGAUCAAUACUAAGGAUAUCUUUUGUACGUUGGGACUGGUGAGAGCUUCAACGUUCAAAACCCAUUCCAUAUUUGUUGGAGUCCAUCUUCAGAUGAACGAUAGGGCUUGAUGUUUCUGACACAAAACAGAUGACACUCUACUAUCAAUAUCAUAGUGUCUUCUCAUAUUGGUGCCUGUUCGUAAGAGAUCACUACGAUUUCUCACAAGGAUUUUCACACUAUGUUCUUCACUUACUCGUCUUGCAAACUCUACAUUUUCGAGAGCACACUACGAUAUUUUAACACUACGAUCUUCACUUGCUCGUCUUGCAGAUUCUGCAUUUUCGAGAGCACACUACGAUCUCUAGUUUCGGCAAAAGUCUGGACCACACUUCGAUUCGUGGAGAGGCCCUUCAAGGCAGAUACACUACGAUCAUCUCAGCACUACGAUCCUGCCUUAGCUUCUGCAUUCUAUUGAUCAACCGGAUAGACUGCGAGUCUAUCUAUUUCUUUCUAGCCAUAGAUCAACCUAACAGAUUUGAUCUCUUUAUCUAUACAAGUGAACAUUAAAGACUAAGAUCAACCUAACACUUUUGAUCUAUCACUAAGUCCUUGUACAUAUAUUCUUUGAAGGACUUUACAUAAUCAUGAGUAGUUUCAUAAAACAUCAAAUCACAAUAUGCAUUCUUCCAACAAUCUCCCCCUAUUUGAUGUUGACAUAACCAAGGAGAUUUGUUGUCAUGAUUAUAAAGUUUUAUAUGCAGUUGCAGAAAAAUAAACAUGACUUAGCAUUUCAGUGAGCAGCUGAAAUUUUUAAAGAAUAAGCAUGAAUUUAUUGAUGUAUGGAGACAAAUUUUACAUUUAAGAAUGACUACAUCAAUACAAUUUGAAAUUCAACUUAUCUCUAUUUCUUUGGCCUUUUGCUUCUUGGAGGAUUUGCAUAUUCCUCAGCUCUCCUCUUUCUGCUUGCUUCAUCUCUUCUGGCCAUAUCUUCCAGCUCACUUGGGCUUAGCCUUGGAUUGUGAUCAUGUCUAUUCAUGAAUGCAGGAUCUCUAAUUGGCAUUCUUAGACCUGUUGUUGUUACCGUAUGAGAGCUGGUGGCUGGCCCUAGACUCCUUAAGGGUUGAGCCAUUAAUAUUUCCUGCUGAUCAGAUCAUUGAGUCUGAUGGCUGGAUUGUGGAGUCUGCUGGUGGAUUUUCCUUACAGAAGGAUUCCUUGAGGAUUGAGGUUGGAGACCUCUACCUUUUCCUUUGCCUCCUGAUCUCCUCCUUUACCUUUAUUCUCCCCCUUUAUGUCAACAUCAAGGGUUCGAAUGUCAUCUGAAAGACGAUUAAGGCCUUGAACAAGCUCGUUGAGCUGACUCUUGGUCUGAGCAAUGUCUUCUCUAUUUUCUUUGAUUAGAGCUUCAGACCUAGCUUCCCUUUGCUGAAGGAUGGAGAGAAUGUUGUCUGUUUGCUCGCCAUUGCUGACAUAGAAUUGUUGAAAUUCUUUGACAGCAGUCUGAAGAUUUUGGAUGCUUUGUAUCAUUAGUUGGUUCUGAGAUUCUUGAGUUUUCUAUAGAAUCAAGACAACAUCCCGAUGUCUUUUAGCUGUGAGGAAGUGAAUAUCAUCCCUGUCCUUUAUGCUUUGUAGCAUUUCUUUGAUAAUCUCUUUGAGUGUUUUAGACAGUUCGGAGCUCAGGGAGCUUGGAAGAUUGUUUGCAGCAUUGAUCAUUGAUGUCAAUCUUAGCUGUAUCAAUGCAGUAUGAUCUUCAAGGCUCUCAUCUAGUUUUUUGAUCACUUUCUCAGACAUGGCUGACAAAUCAGCCUUUGUGGAUAGUUCUGAUAGGAAUUCAUCUAGAUUUGGAAUCUGUGAGGGAGGUGGCGUGCUCUUGAAUUUAUAUUGCAGUGAGUAGAGAGAAAGUUCAAGAUUGAAGCAUUCAUUUCUAGAUGAGGAGGGAAUAUCUGAAGGAGGGGCCUGUGUUUGGAUGUUGGAGCUUAGUGACUCUACGAUUUGUGGUGGAUACUCUACCAGGGGUCUAGAGUGAGGGAUCGUAGAGGUAGUAGGCUGAGUGAGCAUUAGGGAGUUAAUCUUAUUUGGUUCCUCAGUUACAGAAUUUUGAGAUUCUGUAACUAGAAUUGAUUCAGUUGAUGAAGAAUUACUUCCAACCAUUGCGGGAAUUCAUAGAAUUGAUUAAAUGAGGGUGGUGGCAAGUGAUUAAUUCUGACAGGAGUGGGGAUAUAUAAUACCUCAAGUGUGUUCUCUGAGGAAGGGCUGUUGGAGAGAAGCUUCUUGGCAAAAUUGAAUUUCCCUGGGAAUCCAUUUGCAAGUACUGAGAUAGCUGGAUACUCUUUGAAACUCCAGAACAUGUGAUCCCAAGAGUUCAGAAUUUGAGCUCGGUGGAAAGGCAUCAUAGGAAGAUAUGCAAAUAGUUGCUCAUAGGUGGAUCUUCUGUGCCCAUGAAUGCCUACAGCUAUAAUCUCAAUCUCAUCAUCUUCUUCUCUGUUUUCACUAGAGGAUUCCAUUAUGUCGAUUGCUUUAGGUUCUUCAUUAUCUCCUCCAGGAAUUUCUUUUUCAGCUAUUGAGGUGUCAUGAUCCUCCCCCUCAGCUUGAUCAUUCUUUUGAAAUGUCAAUAGCUCCCCCUCAACUGGAGCAUCCUCUGGUGGAAGAUCUUUAGGCAUCUCCCCCUCAGUAUGAGCACCUUCUAUCAUUAGAUCUUUAGGUGUCUCUCCCUCAGCAGGAGCCAUGACUACUUGACAUUCACUUGCUGGUUCCUUUUUAGCACUCAGUUCUUUUGCUUCCCUUCUUAGCACUUCUUCAUUGGCAAGAAUAUACUUCUUAACUAGUUUCCUUCUUGGCCUUUUAGGCUGUGCUACAGCCUCAGGACUCUCUUUAGUUGUGUCCUUCAGAUCAGCUAAGAUAUUUGAUGCAGUUGCUUCCUUGUUUGGUCUAGGCUCUACGAUCGGAGGAGACUUGACGAUCGAAGAGACUUGACGAUCGAAGAGGCUGAUGGCUUUUUACUUUUGUGGCUGGUCUUACUCAUCUUCAGCAACUGAGAUAUAGUUGCUCUAUCUUCUUCUGCCUCUGCUUGCUGUUCCUUUCUCCUUAGGAUCCUUAGAGUCUCAAUUUCUGAGGACUCUACAGGCUUGUUGGUGGUGGAUCCUUGAGGUUCUUCUGUAGUUCUGGCUUUCCUUUUCCCUUUGCUCUUUCUGAUUAAAGCAAUGGGUUCUCCCUGGUUAGUUUCUUCUUCUUCUUCCUCAGUUUCCUUGACAACAGACAUAUUCUCUGGCACUCCUGUUCCUUUUAUCUCACCAGUUCGACCACUGGAUUCAGACAUCAACUUCACAUUUUCAGCUGGAUUUCUCUUCCAGUUUUCAAACAACUGUUGGGUCAUUCGUCGAUUUGGGUUUAUGGCUUCUCCUUCAUCAUCCUCAAUCAGGUCACCAAGAGUAGCCUAUAGGAUAAUGAUGAUAAAUCGUCCGUAGAGCAUCUUCUGAGAGCUCUUUGUCUUCUUGGAGCUAACCAACCAUUUUCUAAUCCAUUCAAGUAAUAAAGCCCCAUAGUUUAGUUAAAUUUUAUAGCAUAUGGAAGUCAUGAGUUUGAGUUGUAUUUCAUUCACAGAGUCAUGACCUGAGCUUUUACAACAUAUGCAUUUUCCAACAAUGUUAGCCAAAAACUCAUACCUCUAUGGAAACUCCUUCUUUUUGUAUCCUUUGACAGAGGGUGAUUUCUUGUGAUGCAUUUUCUUGAGACCUUUAUGGAAGUCUAUUCCAUCUAAGGAUGGAUACCCUUCAGAUUUGAGCCCUAGGGCUAGAUUGAUGUCUUCAGCUCUUAAUUUGAUUUGGACGUUCCUUACUUUCAUGGUGAUGGUGUUGUUUUCAAACACUCCGUUAUUUUAGAAUUCUUUUACCAGCUUUGGGUAGAUCAAUGUGUCAGUACCCAAGGCUUCUUCGAGACCUGCCUUCUUUAGUAGCGACAAUGUCUUGUGAAAUUGGGGUUCAACCAUUUUAAACUCGUCGAAACACAGUCUGUAGCAGGAGACAACACUAGAAGCUGCCAUUGAUUUCUUUGUAGGAAGUGAGGCUGACAGAGCUUGCUACUGAUUUAGGGUUUCUGCUUGAGAGAGGAAGAGAGAGAUGGUCUUUUGAACUUCAUAUUUCAAAAAGGCGAUUUUAAUUUGUACCUGAAACUUCCCUCUCUUUAUUUUGCUUAGUGGGACAGGUGUCAAACUUUGCUUGGCUGUACGAAUUCUUGACAGAGAAGGAUUGUACUGAAUUGCCCUUAACUUCUUCUGGGAUGAUGUAUUCAUUAGUGGGACUACGAUCGUUGAGAUGGUCCUUGGAGUCGUCGAGUCUGUUCUACCAUCGUUGAGUCUGUGUAGCAGUCGUCGUGUCUGAGCUGUAAACGUAGAGUCUGAACUACGAUCAUUGAGUCUGACUGGCAAUCGCAGAGUUUGAAAAAGUCCUUGUGAUGAAUCUUUUUGACUUGGCAUUUUCCUUAAAUUAAGGUAGCUCAGGAAGGGCCAACCUCUUGAAAGAAACAAGGGUUAGGUUUGUUCCUGAGGAACUUAUCAGAGAGAAUGCUUUGAUUUAAUCUUGAUCAUCAUAGGGAGCUCCUUUUGUUUUGUUGAUGUAGUUCUAUUAUCGUUGAGUCUGCACUAUGAUCGUUGAUUCUGUUCAGCAUUCGUUGAGUUUUAUAUACUUUGGCUCUACGAUCGUGGACUUCCUUUGAUCAUGUCUUUUAUUUCAAAUACAACCUUUAAAUCUAUAUGGUUAGCAUAAAAUAAAGCAUAAUAUUUCAUGUUUGCAAGUUAAGCAUGCCUAGCUCACUUAUCAGUUUGUUGAAUCUGGAUUCAUCUAAAGGUUUUGUAAAAACAUCAGCAAGUUGAUUUUCAGUAGGGAUAUAUUGUAAAGAUAUUGUUCCAUUUUGUACAUGAUCCCUAAUGAAGUGAUACCUUAUUUCUAUAUGCUUAGUCCUAGAAUGCAUGACAGGAUUAUGAGUUAUAACAAUUGCACUUGUGUUAUCAUAAUGAAUAGGUAUGGAUUUGAAUUCAAACCCAUAAUCUGCUAGCUGAUUUUUUAUCCAUAGAAUCUGCGCACAGCAACUACCAGUAGCAAUGUAUUCAGCUUCUGCAGUUGAGGUAGAUACUGAGUUUUGCUUCUUGCUAAACCAGGACACAAGUCUGUUACCUAGUAAUUGACAAGUGCCACUGGUACUUUUUCUAUCUAUUUUGUAGCCUGCAAAAUCAGCAUCUGUAUAACCUGUUAGCUCAAAUGAGGAUUCCUUGGGAUACCAAAGCCCCAAGUGGGGUGUACCUUUGAGGUACCUGAAAAUCCUCUUUACAGUAGUUAAAUGAGAUUCUUUAGGACAUGCCUAAAAUCUAGCACAAAUGCAUGUUGCAAAUAUUAUAUCUGGUCUACUGGCAGUAAGAUAUAAAAGAGAACCUAUCAUACCUCUGUAUUGAGUUAUAUCAAUACUUUUACCUUUUUCAUCUUUGUUAAGCUUGGUUGCAGGAGCAAUUGGGGUUUUCAUGGGAGAGGCUGAUUCCAUACCGUACUUCUUGAGUAAGUCUUUAAUGUACUUGGCUUGGUUUAUGAAAAUUCCUUCAUCAGUCUGCUUUACUUGCAGUCCAAGAAAGAAGUUUAGCUUACCCAUCAUGCUCAUUUCGAAUUUGCUCUGCAUAAGCUUGGAGAAUCUCUUGCAUAACUUUUCAUUAGUAGAACCAAAGAUAAUAUCAUCAACAUAAAUUUGAACUAAUAGGACCUUAUCUUUAUGCUUUCUAAGAAAUAGUGUGGUAUCUAAUUUACCUCUAGUAAAUCCAUUUUCAAUAAGAAAGUUAGUCAGUGUUUCAUACCAUGCUCUAGGUGCUUGUUUGAGACCAUAUAAGGCUUUGUCUAAUCUAAAGACAUAAUUAGAAAGAAAUGGAUUGAUGAAACCUAGAGGCUUCUCUACAUUGACUUCUUCUUGAAGUUCACCAUUCAAGAAUGCACUUUUGACAUCCAUCUGAAAGACUUUGAACUUCAUGUGAGCAGCAAAGGCAAGGAAUAUUCUGAUGGCUUCUAGUCUGGCAAUAGGUGCAAAUGUCUCAUCAUAGUCAAUACCUUCUUUCUGAGAGUAGCCCUUGGCUACUAGUCUAGCCUUAUUCCUUGUUAUCACCCCAUCUUCAUCCAUCUUGUUUCUGAAGACCCACUUGGUUCCAAUUACAUGAUGGUUCUUUGGUCUUGGGACCAAUUUCCAAACUUUGCUUCUCUCGAACUGAUUAAGUUCUUCCUACAUGGCCUCUAUCCAGCUGGAAUCUUCCAUAGCAUCCUCUAUCUUCUUUGGUUCUAUUUGAGAUAGGAAGCUUAGAUAGAAGCAUUCAUUUUGAGUAGCAACUCUUGUCUUGAUUCUUGCGUUCGGAUCUCUAAUGAUUAGAUCUUGAGUGUGAUCUCUUGCCCAUCUGCUUCCUGUUGGAACAUCCAUUUUUAUGCCUUCUUGUCUCAGAUCUUCAAGAUUUAUUUCUUCUUCUUGAUGUGGAGGUUCAUUGUCUGGCAUAGGCCUCUCUACGAUCUCAUUCUCUUGCUUAACGAUUUCAUUAUUGGGCACUACGAUCAUAGUAUUGGGCUCGACGACCUCGUUCGCAUUGUCUUGGAGCACUAUUUUGUCUAAGUCUGUUUCAUCAAAGAUGAUGUGAAUUGAGACUUCUACACUCAGUGUCUUCUUGUUGAACACUCUGUAGGCAUUGCUGUCUGUGGCAUAUCCAAGAAAGAUUCCUUCGUCUGAUUUCGGUUGAAACUUUGUCAAGUACUUCUUUCCAUUGUUGAGUAUAUAGCAUGCACAGCCGAACACAUGAAAGUAGCUGACAUUUGGCUUUCUUCCUUUCCAAAGUUUAUAAGGAGUCUUCUUCAUCGUAGAGAGUAUGAGUGAUCUGUUCUGAGUAUAACAUGUAGUGUUGACCGCUUCUGCCCAGAAGUACUCCGGUAGAUGAGCUGCAGCUAGUAGAGUCCUUCCAGCCUCUAUUAAUGUCCUGUUCUUUCUCUCAGCAACUCGAUUUUGUUGGGGAGUUCAUGGAACUGAGAAGUUGUGACUAAUCCCAUUGUUUGUGCAGAACUGAUCCAUUUUUGAGAAAUCGAAUUCUCUGCCAUGAUCACUUCUUAUGUUCUUGAUUUUCUCUCCUUUCUCAUUCAUCACCAGCUUGAACAUCUUGAUUAGUUGGGGGCUUGUUUCAUUUUUUGAGGUUAGAAAAAAUACCCAUGUAAAUGUGGUGUAGUCGUCGACUACGACCAGUGAGUAUCUCUUUCCCCCAUGGCUCAUCAUUGGAAUUGAUCCAAAAAGAUCCAUAUGUAGUAAUUACAGAGGCUUGUCAAUUGAGUUGAUGGUUUUUCUCUUAAAUAAGCUUCUGGUCUGUUUCCUAAGUUGACAGGCAUUGCAGGGCCUUUCUUUAACGAAGUUGAAUUUGGGUAGGCCUGCAACUAGAUCUUUUGAAGCUAAUUUGGACAUGCUUUUGAAGUUGAGAUGAGAUAAUCUUCAAUGCCAUAGCCAGCUCAUUUCUUCAGAUGCUUUAGUCAUAAAGCAUAUUGUCUCGUCUGAGCUUAGUUGUCCAAGAUUUACUGUGUAGACAUUUCCUUCUCUUGUUCCGGUUAGCUUUACUGCAGAUGUCUUCAGGUCUCGGACUUGACAUUGAUUGUUGAUGAAUGUUACUUGAUGACCCUUGUCAUAGAGUUGGCUAAUGCUUGGAAGGUUGUGCUGUAGUCCUUCCACAUAGGCCAAUUUACUGAAUGAUACUGCACCAUUUUCGGCUGAGCCAUAGCCUCUUGUCUUGCCAGUGCCAUUAUCUCCAAAUAUGACUGAGGGACCUUCCUUCUCUAUGAAGUUAGACAGAAGGGCUUUGUUCCCAGUCAUGUGCCUUGAACAUCCACUAUCCAGAUACCAGGUUGUGUUUGUGGAGCUCCUUUCCUGAGGUAACAUUAAGCCUUCAUUUUGGUACCCAUAUUUGCAUGGGUCCUACUAUGUUAGUACCCUUGGGGACCCAAAUCUGCUUUAUUUUGGGUCUCACGUGCAUGGAAUUAUAAUGAUAAUUCGCAGCCUUAUGACCAACUUUGUGGCAUUCAAAGCAUUUGAUAUGAUGCAUGUAAGUGUGUUUGUGAAAGUUCUUCCUCCAUUUGGACUUUUGUGGGUUAUUGGUCAUCCUUCUACUAGGUUGAUAUCCCCUUUUCCAUGUGUUCUCUUGUUUCAUUAAUUGAGGAGAGUAUAUCUCACUUCUACUGUGUCUUCCUGGUUGGUUCGUAGAGUUGAUUUUAUUGGACUCUACGAUCCUUCGAGGUUGAUAAGUAGUAGCUAGAUUACUUCUCUUUUCUGAAACCUAGACCAGCAUGAGAUCCCUUACUCUUGGGAAUAUGAAUUGAAUUAUCCAGACAGGGUUUGACAAGCUCAUCAUUCUGUGAGGAUUUCACAAAUAUAAUGCCUUUACUAAAACCUGAGGCAUUACUAGUGUUAACAUCCUUUGUUUUUUCCACACAUGACUCUGAGAUAGAUCCCCCAAAGCCUAGCCAUGUUCUAUCAGAGACAUUUCUCUGAUUAGAGAUUAAAGAAUCCAUGAUUGAAGAAGAUUUAUUCUAUGUGGAGAUGGUCUUUUUUAGAUCCUCAAUUUUUGAGGUUAGACUAGACUCUUGUUUUGCACUAAGCUCAUUUGUUUAUCUUAAGAGCUUAUUCUCAGCUUCAAGCUCAGAGAAAGAAUUAGCACUGAGAAGGGUUGUUUCCAGUUCUUCUUGAACCUUUUCUUUCUCCUUUUUAAGAAGUGAAUAAUCCUUAGACAGAACUCUAAACCACUUCAUGUAUUGGUGUAGAUCAGAUGUUAUGCCAUGCAAUGUAGUUCUAAGAUCAUCAAUAUCUACAUCAGGAGAGUUAAAGUCAAAUACCUCAUCGAUACUUACUUCGUGUAUGUUAGAGUUCUGUUUGUCCCUUGCAUUUUUGACCAUCAAGCAGAGAUUUGCUAUUUGAGGGUCUUCAUCAUCCCCAGAUUCAGGAGUUGAGUCAUUGUCUAAGUCACUCCACGAUCCUCCAGCUACAAGACCUUUUUCUUUCUUCUGUGGCCCUUUGUUGCCUCUGUAUUCUUUCUUUGAAUGAGAUUUCUUCUUGAGUUCUUCUCUAAGAGGUUUGUUACAAUUUGCAAUAAAGUGGCCUGAUUUCUUGUAAUUGUAGCAUAGGUCAUUCAUUUGCUCCUGGCUGCUGUAGUUGCUGACUUUCUUUGGCUUGUUGGUUUUGCCUCGUCGCAUGAACCUUCUUAGCCUUUUCACUAGCAUUACAAGGUCCUCAUCAUCAUCUUCAUCAUAAUCAGAAUCAACUUCAGUGCUGACUUUGGAGGCGUUAUCUGUUGCUUUAAGGGCUACACCUUUAUCCUUCUGCCUACCUUCAGAUAAGGUUUCUGCUCGUUGAGUCAGCUCCAGUUCAUAUGUGAGAAGGUUGCCAUACAACUGUUGAACAGUCAUUUCAUGUAGAUUUUUGGAUUCUCUAAUGGCAGUGGUUUUGGCAUCCCACUUGCUUGGUAAGGCUCUCAUGAACUUUAUGAUUAGAUCUUUGUUAGGAUAGAUCUUCCCAUAGGCUCGUAGAGAGUUGAGCAGUACAUUAAAUCUUUCGUAAGUGGCAGUAACGUUCUCUCCUUGAACGUGAGCGAACAUCUCAUAUUGCUGAGUCAAGAGAGAUUGUUUGUUUUCUCUGACUUCUUCUGUUCCUUCAUGCAUGAUGAGCAGUGUUUCCCAAACCUCCUUCACUAUUUUGCUGCUGACCACAUUUUUGAACAGAUCAUCUUUUAAAGAUUGGAACAAGAUGUUUUUGGCCUUUUUCUCGAGCUGGAUAGCUCUCUUCUCGUUCUCUGUCCAUUCUUCCUUGACCUUGAUCUGUACUCUGUUUGGGUCAUCUGUAGUUGGUGCAAGCUUUGUAGGAACAUAGGGUCCAUUCUGAACAGUUUCAAAUAGAUCUUCAUCUAUUUCAUCUAUGUAAGCUUGUAUCCUAACCUUCCAGUUAGCAAAUUUUUCUUUGUUGCACAUUGGUGGCUUGCUGCCUCCUCCAGUCUUUGAUUCGCUUGGUAAGUGUGCCAUUGGAUCUACUUAAGCUUUGUAGGUUGUAUUAUAGAACCUUCUUUGAUACCAAUUGUUAGUUCCCAGUAGGCACGAUAGAUAUCUAGAAGGGGGGUUGAAUAGAUAAUUAAAACUUUUCUUUUAAUCUUUUUAAGUUGAUGGCAAUCAAUGCACAGUGGAAUGAGUAUAUGUGAAAAACCUUCUGUUAUAUAUCUUGAGUUAAUGAGAUUAAGACAGUUAUGACAGUUAUAGCAAAUAUUGCAGUUAUAGCAGUUAAUGAACACAAUAGUUUUAAGUGGUUCAGAGCACUAAAAGCUCCUAGUCCACUCUUCUACCCCGUGAGUAGGAAAUCCACUAAGUAUGUCUGUUACACUUCUUGAAUCUCACAGAUUCCUUCUAGACCAGCAGUCUAGAUACUUCUUAGUUCACUCUUGAACUCUUCAAGUCCAGUAGACUUGGUUUCUCACAGUUCACUUAGAACUCUUCAAGUCCUUCAGACCUGGAACUCUUACUUCAGUUGAUUGAAUGUUGUUUAGAUCGUGAUUGAUGCUAUUCAGUUUCUAGUAAGCACUUGUUCGAAAGAACUGAAUAGCUGAGCAAGCUUUUCCUUUUUCUCAGAUCGUAGAGUUGAGUGUUGAGUGUUCUUAUGCGUUUUUUUCGUUCAAUACUUGCUUCUUCUUUCUCAUCUGUCUUUGAUCUGUAUAUAUAUGAUCUUGAAAUCUAUCUGUUGAAGUCAUCUGAUGAGCCAUUAAAUGUGUUUGACAUUUUUGAACUUUGAUGGAAACUUUUCUGCACAUCUUCUGAAUUACACUCUGGCCCACUGACACAGCAGACUGCUUUCUCACCUAACACCUCAAAAGGUGUUUUCCUCUGCCCAAUGGUCCUUUUCUUAGCUUCUUGAGUACAUUUCUUUUGAUCAAUACUAAGGAUAUCUUUUGUACGUUGGGACUGGUGAGAGCUUCAAUGUUCAAAACCCAUUCCAUAUUUGUUGGAGUCCAUCUUCAGAUGAACGAUAGGGCUUGAUGUUUCUGACACAAAGCAGAUGACACUCUACUAUCAAUAUCAUAAUGUCUUGUCAUAUUGGUGCCUGUUCGUAAGAGAUCACUACGAUUUCUCACAAGGAUUUGCACACUACGUUCUUCACUUGCUCGUCUUGUAAACUCUACAUUUCCGAGAGCACACUAAAAUAUUUUAACACUACGAUCUUCACUUGCUCGUCUUGCAGAUUCUGUGUUUCCGAGAGCACACUACGAUCUCUGAGUUAGUUUCGGCAAAAGUCUGGACCACACCUCAAUUCGU